This 60417-nucleotide long non-coding RNA is filed under the name Vitis vinifera (wine grape). RNAcentral's name for it is "long non-coding RNA (VVIN_LNC000529)". Lineage: Eukaryota; Viridiplantae; Streptophyta; Magnoliopsida; Vitales; Vitaceae. The record is from RNAcentral.
AAGUAUCCACAGCUGUAGUUUUUAGUUCAAACCUUGGCAAGGCUUUGGAGAACUUGUGAGGGUGAGGUUUUAUAGCUUUGGUUUUAGAAUGUGUUCCCUUUUUCUGUGUUGCAGUUUCUUCUGUCCAGAGGCUUGCGAUAAGCAUCUCUCCAGAAGCCGAAAAGUCAGUUUCUUGAUCCAUUUGAGCAUGCUCAGCUAACAGGCUUUCCCACCAUAUGAUGUCAUCAUUCGGUUGUGGUGACGUGGAUGAUGGCUUACUGGAAGUACUUACUUGUGUGUCAAAAGUAUCCACAGCUGUAGUUUUUAGUUCAAACCUUGGCAAGGCUUUGGAGAACUUGUGAGGGUGAGGCUUUAUAGCUUUGGUUUUAGAAUGUGUUUGGGGUUUUUUUCUCCCUUCUUCCUGGAACUGAACCUUCUUUUUCAGGUGGUGACCAUGCCAAUAGUUCUUGACAUCAUUAGCAGUCCUCCCUGGAAGCCUACCCGCAAUCAAGGACCAUCUAUACACGCACAACAUCAGACAAAGUAUCAACUGAACAGCUCUUUUGUAAGUUCUGAACAGCUUCAGAACUAAUAUAAUAUCAUUAUCAAGCUAGUACUUGAGUUAUUAUAGACUUGCCUGUUCCCCAACAAAUUGUGAAGCCUAAUCAUGAGAUCAACCUCGUCUAAUGCAAACUCUCCUCUCUUGAUAUCUGGCUUCAAAUAAUUGAGCCAUCUCAAUCUGCAGCUCUUUAGGCAUCUAUUCAACCCUGCAAACUCAAGAAAACGAAACUCUUUAAGCAAAACAGAAGUAAAAAAAACACAAAUUAAUACUGAUCCCUUUCUCUUUCAUGUCACCUGCUCGGAGGGGAACCAGAUGCCACUUUCCUUCUCCAUAUUUCUCAAUGCAUUUCCUCAGGAGAACAUCCUCUUCUUGGGUCCAUGCACCCUUUCUAACUCCUAAGCUCUUCAUCGAGUCAACUCAACACAAGAGACCGGCUCCUUCUCUAAUUAUUGAUUGAUAUAUAACAACCUCGAACCUGUUCUAUCUCAUGACUCGGACACCAGACCCCUAAUUGGUUGAUUCGACACGUUUCUUAUGGUGCAUUACCUGGCUUCCGAAUGCGAUGGACAUCAUGGACAAAGGGUGUGUGUCAUAAGAGAUAUUUACCCAUUAUGUAUCAACUUACUAUAAAUGUACAGCGAAAUUUAGGAAUUAAUUGCUGACUAGUAUCCUUUAUGAACAAUCUCUAUUUUGUGGUGCAAAUGUAUAAACUGGUGUGAUCCCGAAGACAACCACGUGCUACCAUAUUUUAAUGUCCAGAGGAAUUCAUUUGGACAUUGGUAGGAUGAAUGGGACAUUACGUAGAAGAUUUGGAUUCUGAUACCACUGUUUCCUUGACAAAAAGCAACCAAGUGAUGGGAACCUUUGAGGGCCACCGCUCCUCUUUCAACUUUAACAUUUUCUUUUGUCGACUAACCCAUGUUCACUGAAAAGGGAAGCUCCAUGGGUCCUCUACCAUUAUAUUAUGGCCGCUAUGCAGUGGCAGCAGCUAAUUCAUGGGAAUUGUCAGCGAAGAAAGGUACAAUCAUUAGGAUAUGCCUCUGGCUCGCGGAGGACUUUGUUUCUGACCAGUAACGUCGAUAAAAAUACAUUUUAGAACUUUUUCUAUUGUCAAUUCAAUGACCGGGUUCAUUCUCAACCAUCCAUCUGUUGCUUGGGACGUGUGUCAUUUCCUACAAUGUACUCUCCUCACUGACAAUUAUUUUCCCUCAAAUAUAUACAAGUAUAAAAAUUUGCAUAUAAAUUAAAAUUGUUUUAAAAUUUGAAAAAUGAUGGAAAUUGAUAAAAGUAUAAAAAUUUCACCUGAACCUUUGAAAUUUUUUGAUAAAAUAAGUAAUGUGUAGAUAUUAAAUUAUUAUAUUUUAAAAAAAUUAAUAAAAUAACAAAUAUGAGUUUUCAAGUGAAUAUUUUGAUUAGUAGUGUUAAGAAAAAAAAUUUGUUAUUGUUAAUAAAAAUAGAAGAAAGUUAUGAUUUUGCACACCAGUAAUUCCUUAAUUCUGCAUGCAUCAUUUUCUCCAAAGACCUUUUGACAUUAAAGAAGGAAAAAAGAAAAAGAAAAAAAAAGAGCUUAAUAUAGAGGCAGCAAUAAGAUAUCUUAUUGAAGAAGACGUUUUUAGACUUAUGUGGGAACAUUAUAGGCUUUAAUGAAAUUUUUAUAAUAUCAUUUUUAUCUUCUUUUUUUCUUAAUUAAAAAAAGUUGUUAUUCCAAAUAUAUCAUUUUCUAAACCUAAACUAUUUAAUCGGCGUGUAUUAUUGGUUUAAUGCGAAUUAAAAACCAAAGUUCCUUCAUUUUUUAUUGCUUUAAUGUGGAAUGUAAAAAAAUUAAUUGGUUAAAAGAGAUUCAAUACUCCUCGUAUUUGUGAAUUUAUCGCUUCCUUCUUUUUACUUGAAAAAUAACAUAUUUUUUAUUAUAUAAAUGUCACUUAUCAUCUCAAGUAUUUAUACAUAAUUUUAAGAGAAAUGAUUAUUUUUAUAAGAAAAAAGUGAGGAUAUUUAUACCAAAACGAAGCCAAAAAAGAAUGGAGGGUUAAACCCUAUUUGGUAACUAUUUUUUAAAACCGUUCUAAAAAAUAGUUUUUGAAAAUUAUUUUAUAAUUUUUUAUAAAAUAAAAGUCGGUUUGAAAACCUAAAAUAUUUUUAACAUAUUUUAAUAUUUUUAAAAAUAACAUUUUAUAUCCAAUGUUUUAUUUUUAAAUUAUAUUAUAUGUUUGUAUAAUUAUUUUUUAAAAUAAUUUUUUAAAAAUAAAUAAAAAUAAUAUAAAACAAUUAAAAUAUGUUAUAUAAAAAGACUUUAUUAUAUAUUCUUAGAAACAUAAAACAAAAAAAAAAAAUUCUAGUUGUAAGACUGUAGACCCCUUUUGUGGUGAGGGCCCGGAGAGUUGUUAUUUCUUUCCUUUUCAUUAUAUCCUUGGAAGGGGGGACCUCCCUGAAAGCAGCUGCAUGGUUUGUGGUGAGGCCCCGUGAGAGUUGUUAUUUCUUUCCUUUUCAUUAUAUCCUUGGAAGGGGGGACCUCCCUGAAAGCAGCUGCAUGGACGUGUAGCAAGAGAGGAUGGUUGGCCAUGGUGGUGGGUGAAUAUGACGGAUUGGCGGAAUGGUGCACAGUGGAGCGGGUGAUGGCUUGCUGCAGAAGACAGGAACAGGGGGGAGGAGAUAUUUAGCUGAAAUUUUCCUUUGGCUUGACGGGGGGGAAGACCUUUUUUUCGUGAGGCUUUUGAGAAGAAAACCAGAGGUGUGCUGAGAAGGAGGGGCCUCAACAAGGAGAAACCGGAGGAAGGGGAGAGCUUUCCAGGGACCGUGAGAAAGAAGCAGGGGAGGAAUCGCUCAGGUUUGAUCAUACCUUACCUUGUGUUCUUCACCUUUCUUUUAUCUCAUUUUAUUUUGAUGGUCACACUAAUGCUUCUAGUUGAUGUUUGGAUGCUUGCUCUGAUCAUUUAAUGUGUUAAAUCUGCUUCUUGUUUUCGUUUGCUGGGUCUCUGUCUUCCCUUGUAUGAGCUGUGUGAUUAUUAUGCUGUUUGUCUAUGUGAUAAGACCAUUCGGACCCUCUCACCAGCUUCUUUUGAAAGCUCCUUAAUUUUCAUCAAAAUGGGGCUUGGAUUUAACGGCAUCAUCUUCUCUUCUAUAUACUCUGUUUUUUUUUUUUUAUCACUAUCAUCCCUGUUUCUGGCAUUUUGGAGUGUUGAACAUCAUGUCGAAUCUGGCGAAAUCAGACCGUCUUCGCUUCACACCGUUUAUGAUCUCAGCCAUGAGGAGUGUUGCUAACAUUCAGGUAUGAAAGAGAGUGAUGUAAGGAGUGGCCAUGGGCGACGUUAUGAAGCCAAGAAAUAAUCCUGAGCUAGCCAAUUUUAAAACAGUCCUAACUCUGGGACGGUUGGGUAUGUAUAUGGUAUGGCGUUCUUCAUUAUUGAUCUACUAGCCUAGGCAAUUUAGAUUAUGGCCAAGUGUUCUGAUAGAGAUGGAGAAGCUAUAAGGCUGCCAGAGGACCAAUUCCAAAAGAUGGAAAAUCAUGCUCUGAACGAAGAGCCGCUGUAUGCUUUUAGAUUGAGUUGUGGAGCUGCAGAUACAUAAACAGAGGGCUGCGGAGGAAUUAUCAUCAUGUAAGAAGCUUCCCGACUUGCCUCAGAAUCAAUCAUCAAGCAAAGCCCUGCCAAAUUUAGAGAGAGUGGAAUCACUUGUACAGGUGAACCUUUCCAACAAUCAUUUGCAUGGCAGUUUACCUUCCACCAGAGCAUUCUUCGCCAUCAAUUCGAGCUUAGUCUCAGGAAACAAUCCUUGUGGUGGGGACACUGCAAGUGAGCCACCACCAUGCAAGAGGUUAAAAAUCCCAGUUGGAGGGUUCUUCGUCACUUGUCUCCUAGUUGUUUCGGUGGUGCUCACUCUUGCUGUUUUUGCCGCUGUGUUCAUCCUACACCGAGAUGGGUCAGAGCUCAAGAGGGUAGAACAUGAAGAUGGGAUGUGGGAAAUGCAGUCCUUUGAUUCCAAAGUCUCAAAAUCGAUCACAAUCCAAAGCAUACUGCCGUUUAUAAUAGAAAAUAAUGUGAUUUCAUACAAGGAAAAGAUUAAAAUGGUGAGACGGCCUCCCUUACAGCUUUGAUGAAUCGACUUGUUAUUCAUCUAAAAAAGGCUCAUGGAUCAGAAUCCUAUGAGACCAUCUAUAGUGUAUCUUCUGAAAUUGUCAUAAGAGGUCCAGGCCCACUUUUGCAUGGUGCGCCUCCCAAAUACCCCACUUACCCAUCUUUUUGUUCCCGCCACCUUUCCUUUCUCUAUCACCACAUGCAUCUCUCAAGCCCACCAUGCCCAUAUUUCACACCCACUGAACCCAUGUUUCUCUCAUCACCCCUCAUCCGAUCCCACACGAGCUCACCACCUUCAUGUGUUCAUUCCUCACUCAUACAUGUAUGGAACCAUGCAUCCAUGGCUGCCCAUCAUUCCCACUCCCGUCUCGUGCCAACUGCCCAAGCCAUUCCACUUCAUCACCUUUCCACCCCCCAUGCUUGCCACAUUCAUUUCUUCCAACACCCUUUAAACUCACUCCAUCCGCCACCCAUUUAACCCCAUUGCAAACAUGGCCACCUCAUACCCAUUUCUCUUACUCAUAAUUCCAUUCAACACUUCCCAACUCACCCCGUUUCCCCGCCAUCUCUCAAUAUUCCUUAACCCAUUUAUCUCAUUAUCCCCUCCACCAUGUAACCCACUGUCUUCAUGCCCCGCUAAUCCCAUACCCGUCACCACUUUCUCUCUCUCUCUAAAUCUUCAUCCAUACCCAUUUCUCUCACUCACUACCUUUCCGUUCUUUCCAAACCCACAAAACCAUCUCAUCCCGCCACCUUCCAUCCUCCGUUCCGCCAAUAACCACCCGAAGACUAAGAAGAUUCUACAGUUCCAGCGCUCGAGACAAAUAAUUACUGGCGUCUUUUCCGAAAGAGAACAAGACAAUAAUGAGUAUGCUGCACGGGUUGAUCCCUAUGUGACAUGCGGGUAUCCUAUUUUAAGGGGUGUCUAGGAAUUGAUUUGCAAGCCAGGAUACAUAUCCGCCACAGCGAAGUGCCUGGCUUACGUCAUUUGCAUCACAAGACAAUCAUGAGAUGCGAGUAUCGUUUGCAUUGGAGUGAAGUGUACUCUCCAUAAUUGGUGCUCUUGGAAGUAUACCUACGAGAUGAAGCAGAUAUAUUAUCUGUUUUAUUUGUGUUAAAGUAUAUUAUAUUAUGGGCUAUAGGCCCAAUUAGGUUAUUUGUAUAGUACUUGUACUAUACACUUGUAUCGCACAGUAUUUGUACUGCACACUUGUACCGCACCCUUGUACUGCACCCUUGUACUAUACACAUAUGCCUCCUAUAUAAAGACACUGAUGUAUAUUCUUUUAAUCACAUAAUAGAAUACAAUUAUUCUAUAUUUCUAACAUGGUAUCAGAGCCACUGUUCUGAACUUUUUUUUUUUUCUUAGCAGUCUUGUUUUCAUUAGUGUGACUUCCUUCUUUCACUAAGUCAUCCCGUCGUCGUCCUUGGGUUCCGGACCUGCAGCUGCCAUCGUUAAGAAGUUUCACACUGCACAGACCACUGCCCUUUGCAUCACCGCUGCGAAUAUUGCUCCGAUUUCAUUUUUGAAGGUACCAUUGAGAUCGUCCAGCGCCGAUCUACACAGUACUUGUACUGCACACUUGUACCGCACCCUUGUACUACACCCUUGUACUACACACAUAUGCCUCCUAUAUAAAGGCAUUGAUGUAUAUUCUUUUAAUCAUAUAAUAGAAUAUAAUUAUUCUAUAUUUCUAACAAUUUGAUAAUGGAUAAAAUCAUGGUGACUUUGUGGUCUACUCCAUCGAGAAGUCCUCUCAAGAGAUAGGGUCGUCUUAUGAAGGCACGUCGGAUUUUGACGGUGUAAGAGUUGCUGCAUGGAUAGUGCUGUCCAUCUCAAUUCCACUUUCAGAAGCUCGGAAGGUUUGCGGCAUGCUAUCUAGAAUUCUUCAUCGCUCUUGUCGUGGGAUUGAUUGGCUUCAAAGAGAUUGAAUUCUUCCUCUUGAGUUAGACAGGUUGCUCAGGCAGGAGGCUAUCUUGUCUGCUCCCCUCUUGGAGCCUAUACACAGGAUGAGGACGACCUUAGAAUACAGAGGGAAAUGGUUGUCCUUGCGGAAUGCAUAUGUUGGAGAAUAGCUGUAAAAAAGGAAUCAAACCGUCAUUUGGCAGAAACCUCUGACCAAUGGUUGUCACAAGGAGCGAACGCCUGUUACUCGGCCUCCAGCAUGGAUGAUGCGCUAAGCUGGAAGGUACAUGGCUGUUUACAAAAAACUUGCAGAGAAAUACCCCCUCCUUCAGACAGAGAGGAGGUGAGAGGCCCUGUUAUCCAUUCUCCAAUUCGCUCCGAGGAAGGAGGUGGGGGGACAAGCUGCUGUUCCGGGUUUUGUGGGAGUACCUUGAACAAUGGGGACAUGUAUAGUGGAAGGCGGUACAACUCGGGCACAUACGAUCAUAAAAAGCGUGUGUCAUACAACACCAAAUGUAUUGAGGGCUUUUCUUUCUCAUUUGACGCUUGUAAUAUCUGAAUACAUUGUUUUCUAAGUUGAAUCUGGGGCCCACUGUAUUCAAAUAUUUGACUCUUGGGGUGGUCAACUACCGCCUGAUAUGGGGGAGUGCUGGUCAAAACCCUAUAUUGGAAGAGUUGAGGUAGAAGAAGAUGGUGAUAUCGGCAUCAGAGCUACGAAGGAGGGUUUAGGGCUCCAAGCAGCUGGAUCGGAUAGCUUCAGGGCUGACUUAUGCUGGAAUGGGAUGCAGGGGUCCACAAGGAAAGAGAUAUUUUAUACCAUCUGGACCCACAACAGUCAUUGGUAUUCCAUAUUCGACCACCAUUGCACAAGACCCCUUGCAUGGCCACCUUUUGAUAGGCCAUCAUCAAAACCCGUGGCUCCCCUCCUUUUAUUUUCAUGCAAACCUCCAGAACCUGAUUUUCGAGGAUCAUCGUUUUUUUUUACGUGAUUUUAAUUCUUCACUUUUUUUCUCUUUUUCUUGAUUCUAGGUACCAUUUUCAACUAGACUUGCCUAUUUUCGUUCAGUUUAUUUAUUUAUUCAUUUAUUGCUAUUAUUAUUAUUAUUAUUAUUUUCAUUUUUUGUUUUCAUCCUUGUUUUUAUUUUUAUUUCCUAUCCUUGACUUUAGAUAUUUUCCAUUCUUUAAUAAAUUUGGUAGCCACAUUCCUUCUCGACCAAUAUCUUUCAUAAAUCCUCUUUUAUUUUUAAUGAUUUUCUAAUUUUCACGUUUAAUAAGCCAAGAUUUAAUUUUGUGAUUCCAAUUAAUGGAAUUUACGAAAUUAAUUCAUUGCUAAAAUAAAUUAGGUUUUGAUGGGAGCCUCACAUGUGAUUUUAUAAUUGAUUGAUCGUUUGAUUGAUUUGAUUGUUAUGCAUGAUCGAUCUAUUAUGUUCUAAGACAUGCAUGAUAUUGUUCCUUAAUUGUGUACUAACCCUCUCUCUUAAUAGCGCAUGGUAACUCAUUGUCCAGUUACGUACCCACUUUCACUCUGAUCAGUGUCUACGCAUUUUCUGGUUCUCACAUGUGCAUGUUUUAUUCUAAGUAUUCAUUGAUUCACUCAUCCAUUAUCAUGAUUACUUCAUCUCAUUAGUAGAGACCCGGUUUUAAGGAUUUAGAGGGGUGUUACGGUCUUUACCGUACCUUCCCAAUAAGUAACCUGACCUCCGAGCCUGACCUGAUUUUUCACAGACUACCUUUUCCAAAAUAAAGAGUCACACUUAGGGUCUUCUUUUUUAUUUUGUUUACCCUUUUAAAAAUAAAACAAAAAUAAGUGGCGACUCCAAGUCAUUUUCCAAUAAACAAAGUCAUUUUUAAAAUAAGAAUUGAGUUCGCCAUCGAGUAAAAAACGUAUGAGCCGAAACAUGGGGUCCACACAAAUAUAUUUUCGUGUUUUUUUAUUUUAAAUAAUAAAAAGUUAUUCUAAAAAACCAUGCUAAGCAAAUUCUUAAAUUUCCGAAAAAACAAAAAACAUAUAAGGUUACCAAGAAAAUUUUUUAUGAGACUUCUAAGUUUUCAAUGAAGAACCAGAUUGAGACUUCAAUUAAAAAAUAGAAUCUUAAUUGACAAUUAUAACUUUAAUUUAAAAACGAAGUAUCAAUUGAUAAUUAUGACUUCAAUUCAAAAACCGAAGUCUUAAUUAAUAAAUAUACCUUUAGUUCAAAAAUAAAGUCUCAACUGUAAUUGUAAUGAGAUCUUAACUAUAUGUUUUAAAAAAUAUAUAUUUUUGAGAUGCUCGUAUGCGGCACUUAAGAGACCAACAUAAAUUUUAUAAAGUAGUUAGAUAUGGGACAUUUUGGCCCAAAACUCCAGCAAGUAGCACCUCUGUUUUGUGCUGGGUACUGGACCAGACGACAGUGGUCAAAGCUGACUGUGACCUGGGCCCACAGGCUAAUUUUAAGCUGCACUCGUGACCAGCGCUUCCAGCGUGCUGGGUCAGACGAGGCAGCGGUGGUGAAAGUGGGCUGUGAGCUGGGCCCACAAACCAAUUUUGUGAAAAUCCAGAAGGUGAAAAUCGGUGACGUGGCACCGACAUGUUCCAAACCGUCGACGUUUUCAUCACUGAAUUUUCCAGCACUUCAGCCAUAAUUUCCAAGUACAUGUACAAGUUUUUAGGUAAAUUAAUUGUCGAACAUAUGAGAGUAUAAGUUUUGGAGCAAAUGAGUUGUACAACAUGUCAGAGCCUCAGUGGAAGGGAAGAGGGUUUAUAUAUUCAAAUAUUACUUAUAUUUAUUUUCUUAAUUUAUUAAACUUAAAAAUAAGAUAUUAUUUAAAAUUUUCUAAUGAAUUUUUUAUUUAUUAUUUAAUUACUUAAAUUAAUUUUUAUUUAUUUUUUUAAAUUAUAGAAUUAAAACUUUUUAUUUAAAUAUUGUUUAAUAAAUUUAAAAUUUAUUUUAAAUUAUCAAAUUUAUGGUUAAACAUAAAUAUUUAAAGUAUUAUAAAUACAUAAAAUAUAAUAGAUUUAUUAGAAAAAAAAUAAAUUAUUGAUGUGAAAUCAUGAUUAUAAAAUAUGCUAUUAUGUAGCAAAUAAGAUAAAAAAAAGAUUUGAAAUUAAGGAAAAAAAACUAUUUUGCCUUAAUAUUUGAAGUUAAAAAAAAAAAAAAACUGUAAUAUUGUUAUUUAAUUACUGAUAUGUGUUUGAAUGCCUAUCUCCUUAAUUUAUUAAGCUUAAAAGAAGUUAUUUGUUUUCUCUGUAAUCUCAAAAGAGACUACAAAAGAGUAUUAAAGUACUUGAUAUAAAUGAUAACUCAAGUCCUAUGAGCUUAAGUAUUCAGAUUAUAUUAAGGUGGUGUUUAUUUUUUUACUUAAUUCUAAAUAGAAAUUUAAUGCUUAAUAGUGUUAAAUAUUAGAUUGUUUAUUUUUAUAGUAUUUUAUUUCUAUUAAGUAUUAAAAAAUAAAAAAAAAUUAAUAUAUUAUUUUUUCUAUUUAAAAAAAAUUAAAUAUUUUGAUUUUUUCUAUUCAAUAAAAAAUUUAUAAUAAGUUAUAAAAAAAUAGAAAAAUAAAUAACCUAAAUUGUGAAAACAAUUUCCUUUCAAUAAUAAACAAAAGGGUAUUAGAGUACGCUAGCUAUCUAGAUAAUAAACUCAAGUCCUACGAGCUUAAAUAUUUAGGUUAUGCCUCAUCGUUGAAUUUUAUCUCAGAAUUUCCCAUGAUUCUUGCAAUAUAACCUGAAUAGUGCAGGUGUGAAGACAUGUAUGGCCCGGUAACUUUUGCUAUUUGUAGUCCUUAAUUAUAUAAUCAGAAUAAAAAUGCGUUAAAUUAAUCAAAUAUUAACUAGGGAGUAUGACAUUACACAAAAGUACGUGGGGAGGGAAGUAACUUGAUAUAAAACUGAUGAAAUCUCAGAUGCUCAUUUAUAUCAUGGCUUCUCCAAUGAGGCCCAUUUCAAAAGGAAAAUCAAAAUUCCCACCUCCAUUGGUAUCUACAGCUGAUGCAGUUUCGUCAGCCAGGAGGCUGGCAAUAAGCUCCUGAUCUUCAAUGGUAUGGUCAGCGAAUAGGCUUUCCCACCAUAAAAUAUCCUGGUUUGGUUGGACCAGUGUGGGUUGCAGCUCACUACAAGUACUGCCUUGUGUCUCAGAAGCAUCCACAGCUGUAGUUUUGAAUGUGAACCCUAGAAAGAGUUUGCAAGGCUUAGGCUUUAUCAGAGUGUUUUCAGAAUUGGUUUGGGCUUUAUCUUUCCCUUUUUCCUGGAUGGGAACCAUCUUCUUGAAGCGAUGAUGGUGCCAGUAAUUCUUGACAUCAUUCGCAGUCCUCCCUGGAAGUCUGCCGGCAAUCAAGGACCAUCUGGAAAAACAUAGCUACAAUUUUUUUAAAAGUGUUGAAUUAAAAUGAUCUUAUUUGAGUUUCUAAUUCAUGGAGGCGUUGUUUCUUUAACCAUCAGCUCCAGAAUUUGGUUUGGGUUAAGGAUCAGACAAGGAAAAAAAUUAAGGGAAGGUAGGUACAAUUCUUUUUUCUUUGCAAGUGAAAAAGCUUAAUUGAUUAAGCUUCUUUUCUUAUUUUACUUCAAUUUUUUUCUUUCAUUUUCCUCGUAUUUUCUCAGGAUUCAAUCCAAACUUGUAUCUCUAUUACCAAUCUAACAGUGGCUAUACUAAAUGUAAUAGGAAAUUAAUAAAUAAACUUGCCUGUUUCCCAACAGCUUAUGAAGUCUAAUCAUGAGAUCGACUUCAUCUGAUGCAAAUUUUCCUCUCUUAAUAUUUGGCUUUAAAUAGUUGAACCAUCUCAAUCUACAGCUUUUGCGGCAUCUACUCAAACCUGAAAAGGCAACUCUUCCAGUUAGGAAUAUUUAUUUAAGCAGGAAAAAAGUUUGCAGGCUUCCUCUCAUACGUAUAUAUUACCUGCUCGGAGUGGAACCAAAUGCCAUUUUUCUUCUCCAUAUUUCUCAACACAUUUUCUUAAAAGAAAAUCUUCUUCCCGAGUCCAUUUUCCCUUUCUAACUCCCAAACUCUCCAUAGCUUUUCCUCAACUCUACGUAGAACAUAUGCAACUUGUCCGAUUAAUUUAAACACUUGGUAUGUACUUCUUAUGAUUUGCGUGCUUUCAUUCCAACCACAGAACUCCAAGUAGUACUGAUUCUUAAUUAAGUGACAUGAGCUGGUUGGUAGCCUUAGUAACAACAGUGUAACAGCCACUUCAGUUUAAACGUGCAGUCAUUCUUAAGCCACAUAAGCCUUAGUAACAAUUCAAGCGUGUAAUUAUAUAUAUAUACACACAACUUGGGAUGUACUUCAUAUGACUUACGAUGCUUGUAUUCCAACCACAGGUCCCUAAGUACGGAUUCUUAAGUGACCCAAUGUUUUUUUUUUAUUCAUUUGAUGUGGAAUACAAAAGAAUUAAUUGAUUAAAAGAAAUUAAAUAAUCAUUAUAUUUAUAAAUUUAAUCAUUCCUUGAUUUUACUUGAAAAAUAAUAUAUUAUUGACAUAAAUGUCACUUAUCAUUUCAAGUAUUUAUAUAUAGUUUUAAAUGAAAUAAUUGUUUUUACAAGAAAAAAAAAAGAUACUUUUAUAAAAUGAAAAAAAAUUAAGGUUAAAUUUAUAAAUUUGAGUUUUUAAUGACCCUUCUAAUCAAAUACUCUAAUACAAAGUCAUCUGUUAUCAUUUCCUCUCUACAACUUCAGGUUUGUGCAUCCUGACUUUGUAGUCUCGAAUAUAGGCAUUAGAUAUCUUAUUUCUAGUCUUAGAUUUAGGUAUAAGGUUGGAAUUAUGAUAAGUGUUAAGUUUCUGGGAUUUGUUAAGGAGAUUUGCACAAUAUUUGUAGAGUUAUUAUUAUUAUUAUUAUUAUUAUUAUCUUGGUUUUUGUUUGCUUGAAUUAUUUGAUUGAUUGGUCAUACCUAGCUUUCUAGCAAGUUUGUUUCUAGUACGGUCGUUUUACCACUCUAGAGACAUGCGGGCAAGACAUAAAAGUUCUAGAUAUUCUUCGAAAUCUGUAUUGCAAUAUCAGGUUGAACAUUAAACAAAGAGAUAGUCACUGCAAUAGUAAGUGUGUGCUGACCAACGUUUUAAAAAUCCAAUCGGACCAGCUGGUCCGAUCGGUCUGACCGUUGAUCGGUCAUCAGUCCAGUUCGAUUCACCCCUUUGAACCGGCCAACCUCUGAACUGUCAUCGAACCGACGGACAGAUUGGUCCGACCAAUUUUUAUUGAACCGAACAAUUCAAAUGAAUUUUUUCCUUGGCUUCCAAAAUGAUGUCUUCCCUUUCUUCUUCGUUCUUCCAGAACGUUCUCCCCCGCCCACAGUUGACCGUGACUCAGUUGACCGUGACUCAAAAUACAUUCCAACAACUGAUGAAGAUGAGGAAGUAGAGUAUGAAUGCAAGAACAACAUUUGAACUUAACCCCAAAGAUUGAAAUUGUCUAAAUCAGAUCAAAUGAUUUACUUGUGUUGGGUGUAUCCCAAAAGCCCACAUCAAAUGGAAAAUCACCCUCACCUCCCUGGACUUGUUCCACCAUGCCAUCCAUGGUUCCCUUUGUCUCUGUUGCAGUUUGUUCGGCCCAGAGGCUUGAGAUACGCUCCCCUCCAGAGCUACAAAUCGAAAAGUCAGUUUCUUGAUCCAUUUGGGCAUGCCCAGAUAACAGGCUUUCCCACCAUGCAAUAUCAUCAUUUGGCUGUGGUAACUUGGAUGAUGGCUUACUAGAUGUACUUGUUAUUUCCACAUUAAAAUUAAGUGGGUGGCCCACUAACCUAGUAUUUAGCCGAUUAAAAGAAUACCUAAAAUAUUUAAACUGUUAUAAAGAUAUUUACCCUUUGAUGGAGUGGGUAAAUUAUUAUAAUAAUAAUAUUAUUAUUUGGAAUAAAAAACAGUUAUUCGAUCGAAUAACACGUUCAUAAUGGUUUUUGAACGUGUAUUCUUGACCCUCUUCUCUUAUCAAUAAGAUAUAUAUACAGAAACCCCUUCAUGUGCGGUGAGUGCUCUCUUCCAUCAAUUACAGAAAACAAUUCUGUGUAUUAAAGUUUGAUAAGGAGAAGAAGAGAUCAAGGAUUUAAGAUCUAUAAACUGAAGGGAAAUCUCUCAUAGCUGCGUGUUCUUCAAACGGUAUGUAAUCUAUUUUAAUUAAUGUUUUUAUUAUUUUAUUUUUCAGAGAUGAGUUUGAAUUCAAUGAUCUGGAAUAUUGUGUGUUAAUUUCUGUGUUAAAUGUCAACAAUUGGUAUCAGAGCAAGGUUGAAUUCAAAUAUUCAGAAUCAUUGUUUUAUAAAGAUUAAAUUUUGAGAUUUAUCAUCGAUUAAUUCGUCUCACUAAAAUGAAUAAAAAAAAUAAUAAUUAAACAAAAUAAAGACCAGCCUCAAUGCGUAGAAGGAAGAUUUUUAUUUUUCCUUGCAACGCCGAUUGGAGCAAUGCCGGUGAGGGGCGCUGGUUUGGCCGACUGGUUUGGCGUUAGUCCGGUGGCCGGUUUCAGGCGCCAGUCAAGGCGCCAUUGCCUGCGCCAUUGAAGGUGCCAUCUCACUGUUUUCAGGCGCCAAUCCAGGCGCCAUUGAAGGCGCCAUCUCGACGUUUUCACGCGCCAGUCUAGAUGCCAUUGCCGGCGCCAUUGAAGGUGUCGUUUCUCCAGCUUUCCGACGGCAGUGAAGGCGCCGUUUUCAGGCGCCAUCUCCAGGCAUCAGGCGCCGUUUCUCAGGCGCCAUUAGAGGCGCUGGUUGCAGGCGCCGUUUCUCAGGCACCAUUAGAGGCGCUAUUUGCAGGUGUCGUUUCCUUCUUCAAGGGCCAUUGGAGGCGCCGUUUGCAGCGCCGUUUCAGGCGCUCUUCAGGCGCCACUUUUCAGGCUCUCCAAAAGUGCCAUUUCAGGCGCUAAUCCAAAGAUCUUAAUUGAUUUAUUAUUUGAUUUGAGUCUGAACCUUUGUGAAAUUAUUAUUAUGUCUGAGGAAUGCAAGUAUUAGCUUUAGUAUAUUCAAUGAAUGCAGAUUUCUUUGAUUUUAUUAUGAUUGAUUAUUGAAUCAGAUGGUUAUUAAACAUACUAUUUCCUUGAUUUUUUAACUCAAAUAAAAGAAUUAAUUUCAUCUUGUGAAUAUUUUAUCUAAAGACAAUUUAUAAAUGUAAGGUUAACUAGUUUAGAUUAUUGCCAAAGCAACCUAAAUUAGUGAGCCUUGUAUUUAUUGAAUUGCAUAAAAGAAUAAAGGGAGACUUGUAAAAUUCUUAAUAAUUCUCUUUAUAAUUAGGAGAAUGAGACUAACCCAAAGGAGAGUCAAUUUCUGCUAAUUAUUAAUUAAUGUUUUAUUUUGUGUUGCUUAGAAAGGUAAAAUGGAUACCCAAAGGUAACAUAUAAAUGACACAAAAUAGUAAAGUAUUUUAAGCUCCCUCCAAGUGAACACUGGAUAUGUUAAAAUUUACCCAAAGGAGAAUUUUAAUGAUAUCAAUAGUUCAUUGCUAUUUAUUUUAUACUUGAGGCCUUAUUGUGAGCAUUGUUCUAUUUUGUACAGUUCCCACUUCAUUACACUCUCUUGCAUCUGGAAUGGCUGUUUUUGAUGGGUCGAACUUUUCUGAAUGGUAUGAAACAAUUCUCACUGGGCGUAUUGGAUCUUGACCUGGCUUUAAUAACGGAUAAACCUCCUGAAGCUACGGAUGACAGUACUCCGGAGCAGGUGGAACAAUUAAAAGCCUGGGCAAGAUCCAACAUACUCAGUUUUAUGUUUAUGAGAAUGAUUAUUGCCAAUAAUAUCAAGACCUCUCUCCCUCAAACCGAGUUUGCCUCGGAAUUUCUGAAAUCUGUUGAAGAGUGCUUCAAACGCGCUGAUAAGUCCCUUGCAGGCACAUUGAUGGCUGAAUUGACUACCAUGAAAUAUGAUGGUCAGAAAGGUAUUCAGCAACAUAUUUUAAACAUGACUGAAAAAGUUGCAAAGCUUAAGGCGCUAGGCAUGGGUAUGGAUGAGUCCUUCUUGGUACAGUUUGUCCUUAACUCACUUCCAUCACAGUUUGCUCCAUUCAAAAUCCACUAUAAUACUAACAGUGAUCAGUGGAACUUGAAUGAGCUCACCAGUAAAUGCAUACAAAAGGAAGUGAGAUUAAGACAAGAAGGACAUAAUCUUGCCCUUGCUGUAACUCAUGGAGUCAUGAAGAAGAAAGGAAAAUUCAGAAAAGGAAAGAAGUUUCCACCUAAGAAAAGCGGACCUGGGGAAGGUAGCCAGAGUCAUGAUGGAAAAUUCACGGUAAGUUGCUACUUUUGUGGCAAGAAAGGGCAUGUGAAGAAGGACUGUAACAAGCGUAAGGCUUGGUUCGAAAAGAGAUGUAUAAAUCUUUCUUUUGUAUGUUAUGAAUCCAAUCUUGCUGAAGUUCCUUCAAAUACUUGGUGGAUUGAUUCUGGAGCCACAACUCAUGUGACUAAUUUAAUGCAGGGAUUCUUUACAACUAGGAAACUAAAGGAAAGUGAAAAGUUCCUCGAUAUGGGAAACCGUCUCAAGGUUGAAGUGGUAGCUGUUGGUACCUAUCGCUUACUAUUAGAGACGAGUCAUCGGAUGGAUCUUUUAAACACUUUUUAUGUACCUUCUAUCUUUAGGAAUUUAGUUUCCUUGUCCAAAUUAGAUGCUACUGGAUAUUCUGUUUUAUUCAGUUUUGGACAAUUAAGUUUGUUGUUAAAUUCUGUUACAGUUGGUUCUAGUAUUUUAUGUGAUGGUUUAUAUAAAAUUUCCUUGAAUCAUGAAUUUGCACAAGCCUUGAUAACCCUGCAUUCAAAUGUUGGUUCAAAACGUGGCUUAAUUAAUGAAAAUUCUUCAAUCUUGUGGCACAGAAGACUAGGGCACAUCUCUAGGGAAAGAAUUGAGAGAUUAGUGAAGGAAGGAAUUUUACAAAAUCUUGACUUAACUGAUUUUCAUGUAUGUGUGGAUUGCAUAAAGGGAAAGCAAACUAAACAUACAAAGAAAUGUGCCACAAGAAGUAAUGAGCUUCUUGAGAUAAUUCAUAUAGAUAUUUGUGGACCACUCUCUGUUCCAUGUUUUACAGGAGAGAAAUAUUUUAUCACCUUUAUAGAUGAUCUAUCUCGUUAUGGUUAUGUUUAUCUAAUGCAUGAAAAGUCUCAGGCCAUUGACAUCUUCGAGAUGUUCAUAACAGAGGUCAAGAGACAAUUAGAUAAAAAGAUUAAAAUUGUGAGAUCAGAUCGAGGUGGUGAACAUUAUGGCAGAUAUGAUGAAUCAAGACAAAAUCCUGGUCCUUUUGCCAAAUUCCUUGAAAAGCGUGGCAUUUGUGCUCAGUACACAAUGCCUAGUACGCCACAGCAGAAUGGUGUUGCUGAAAGGCGUAAUCGCACAUUAAUGGAAAUGGUUAGGAGUAUGAUGAGUUACUCUUCUGUACCUAUUUCAUUGUGGGGUGAAGCCUUAAAAACCGCAAUGUAUAUCUUGAACAGAGUUCCUAGUAAAGCAGUUCCAAAAACUCCUUUCGAGUUAUGGACUGGUAGGAAACCUAGCUUGAGACAUAUACAUAUAUGGGGUUGUCCAGCGGAGACAAGAAUCUAUAACCCACAUGAGAAAAAUCUUGAUGCAAGAACGAUAUCUGGAUAUUUCAUUGGCUAUUCGGAUAAAUCGAAAGGGUACAAAUUUUACUGUCCUAACCACAAUGUGAGAAUAGUUGAAACCGGUAAUGCCAGAUUCUUAGAGAAUGGUGAAAUCAGUGGGAGUAAUGAACCAAGAAAGGUAGAUAUUGAGGAGAUAAGAGUGGAUAUCCCACCACCUUUUUUAACUCAAGAAAUUAUUGUCCCUCAACCUGUUCAACAAGUUGAGGAAAAUGAGCAACAUAAUAGAGAUGGUUCAUUACUACCAGAAAAUAUUGCCAUUGAAAAUGUUGUAGAGCCACCACAACCGGCACCUUAGAGGAGAUCUCAAAGAGAAAGGAGACCUGCCAUUACAGAUGAUUAUGUGGUGUAUCUACAGGAAUCUAAUUUUGAUAUUGGGAUAAGGAAGGAUCCGGUUUCGUUUUCACAAGCCAUGGAAAGUGAUGAUUCUAGUAAAUGGAUGGAAGCUAUGAAUGAAGAGUUGAAAUCUAUGGCCCAUAACGGUGUCUGGGAUCUCAUCGAAUUGCCUAAUAGUUGUAAAUCCGUCGGCUGUAAAUGGGUCUUUAAGACAAAGCGCGACGUUAAAGGCAAUAUCGAACGAUUUAAGGCCAGAUUUGUGGCCAAAGGUUUCACUCAAAAGGAAGGUAUCGAUUACAGAGAUACCUUCUCUCCAGUUUCCAAGAAAGAUUCACUUAGAAUCAUCAUGACACUUGUAGCUCAUUUUGAUUUAGAGUUACAUCAAAUGGAUGUGAAAAGUGCAUUCUUAAAUGGGAAUUUAGAUGAAGAUAUCUACAUGGAACAACCUGAAGGGUUUGCAAAGAAAGGAAAUGAACACCUAGUUUGCAAAUUAAAGAAAUCCAUUUACGGUCUUAAACAAGCUUCCAGACAAUGGUAUAUUAAGUUCAAUAAUACCAUUACAUCUUUCGGAUUUAAAGAGAACAUUGUUGAUCAGUGUAUAUAUCUGAAAGUUAGUGGGAGCAAGUUUAUAUUUCUGAUACUGUAUGUGGAUGAUAUUUUGCUUGCUAGUAGUGAUCUUGGUUUAUUACGUGAAACCAAGGAAUAUCUCUCUAAAAACUUUCAUAUGGUUGAUAUGGGUGAGGCAAACUAUGUUAUUGGCAUCGAGAUCUUUAGGGAUCGAUCUCGAGGAGUACUAGGUUUAUCUCAGAAAGGAUAUUUUGAUCGAGUUUUAGAAAGAUUUAAUAUGCUGUCAUGUUCAUCGGGUAUUGCACCUAUAUUGAAAGGUGACAAAUUAAGUAAAAUGUAGUGCCCAAAGAAUAACAUGGAAAGGGAGCAAAUGAAGAAAAUUCCUUAUGCAUCAGCUAUGGGAAGUUUGAUGUACGCUCAAACAUGUACAAGACUGGAUAUCAGCUUUGUUGUAGGCAUGUUAGGAAGAUACCAAAGUGAUCCAGGAUUCGAACACUGGAAAGCUGCAAAAAAGGCGAUGAGGUACUUACAAGGGACAAAGGAUUAUAUGCUCACAUAUAAAAGAUCAGAACAAUUAGAGGUUGUCGGUUACUCGGAUUCUGAUUAUGGUGGUUGUCUCGAUAGCUUAAAGUCAACUUCAAGAUUUGUCUUUAUGCUAGCAAAUGGGGCAAUCUCAUGGAAGAGUGAAAAACAAUCAAUUACUGCUUCAUCCACGAUGGAGGCCGAGUUUGUUGCUUGUUUUGAAGCUUCAAGUCAUGCUUUAUGGUUGCGGAAUUUUAUCUCAGGGCUUGGUGUUGUCAACUCUAUUGCUAAACCUUUAAGAAUAUAUUGUGAUAACACCGCAACUGUUUUCUUCUCUAAGAAUGACAAAUUUUCUAGUGGAUCGAAACACAUGGAUUUAAAGUAUUUAGUUGUUAAAAAAAGAGUCCAGAAACAACAAGUGUCAAUUGAAAAUAUUAGGACCACACUUAUGGUUGCUGAUCCAUUAACUAAAGGAUUACCUCCAAAGGCAUAUUUGGAACAUGUUAUGAGGAUGGGCCUUUUGACUAAUCCAUAAUAUGUAUGAUAAUGAAUGGUGGUUAUGUAAUUGACAAUUUGCGCAUUAAAAUUGUUUAUGUUUAUUCUUAUUUUCAAUUAUGGGUGCACGUUUUAUUGUUUGAUAAACAAGAAUUGUCUUGACAAGACAAAUUACAAGGGCUAUUUGGCAUUAAGGACUGAGUUAGUAAGGGUUAUUGAUGUGUGGUGCAUGGAAGGAAACAUGACAUUAUGGUUAUGUGACCGCCAUGACUCGCAUUUAUGAUCUAAACUGAUUCAGUAUUAUGGUAUAUGAUUUUGGACGUAUUGGCGAAGUUUAUUGAAAUCGUGAUCACAUGUCAAAUUUAUUUUCCAGUAUAUAUUUUAUGUAUAAAAACUAAAUAUAUUAUAGUUUUCAUAAUCGGUUUAGUGGGCCAAGUGGGAGAAUGUUAUUUCCACAUUAAAAUUAAGUGGGUGGCCCACUAACCUAGUAUUUAGCCAAUUAAAAGAAUACCUAAAAUAUUUAAACUGUUAUAAAGAUAUUUACCCUUUGAUGGAGUGGGUAAAUUAUAAUAAUAAUAAUAUUAUUAUUUGGAAUAAAAAACAGUUAUUCGAAUAACACGUUCAUAAUGGUUUUUGAACGUGUAUUUUUGACCCUCUUCUCCUAUCAAUAAGAUAUAUAUACAGAAACCCCUUCAUGUGCUGUGAGUGCUCUCUUCCAUCAAUUACAGAAAACAAUUCUGUGUAUUAAAGUUUGAUAAGGAGAAGAAGAGAUCAAGGAUUUAAGAUCUAUAAACUGAAGGGAAAUCUCUCAUAGCUGCGUGUUCUUCAAACGGUAUGUAAUCUAUUUUAAUUAAUGUUUUUAUUAUUUUAUUUUUCAGAGAUGAGUUUGAAUUCAAUGAUCUGGAAUAUUGUGUGUUAAUUUCCGUGUUAAAUGUCAACAGUACUAACUUGCAUGUCAAAAGCAUCCGUAGCUGUAGUUUUUAGUUCAAACCUUGGCGAUAAUUUGGAUAACUUGUAGGGCCGAGGCUUUAGAACUUUGGUUUUAGAAUGUGUUUGGGGUUUAUCUCUCCCUUCGUCCGGGAAGUGAACCAUCUUUUUAAAGCGGUGAGUAUGCCAGUAAUUCUUGACAUCAUUAGCAGUCCUCCCUGGAAGUCUGCCCGCGAUCAAGGACCAUCUAUACAAGCACAGCAUGCAACAGAUCAACUAUCAAGUACAAGCACCACAUGGAGGCUUUUCUAAUUUGGAAUAUAGCUUCAGAAUUGAUAUAAUAAUAUCAUGUUACCAAUAUUAUGUUCCUUUGAUGAGUCAAAGCUGGUGCCCUUCUUCCUUUCCUAUUUUUUUCCUUGGAUAAGUCAACCCUUCCCAUUCCACUUUUCUUCAGGUGUUUGGUCUAAGACUCUAAAAUCAUUUUUAAAUUUUGAUUUUCUCUAUUGAAAAUAAUAUUCAUUUUUUCCUUAUUUUUUAAAAUCUACUUAAUUAAAAAAGCAAAAUUUAUUUUUUGAAAGUACAAUUCAUUUAUUCAUUAUUUUUUCAUUUUCUUUAUUAAAAUUUUAUUUUAACAUCAUGUGUAAUUAAAUUAACAUUAAAAUAAAUUAAUUUUUAAUAUAAAAAUACAUUCAUCUAUAAUAAUUAAUAAUAUAAAAAAUAAAAAAUACUAAUAUUUUAAACAAUAUUGAUUUCAAAUAUAUAAUAUUCAUAAUAUUUUUAUAUUUAUAAUAUUUAUAAUUUUCAUAUCAUGAAUCUCAUUUUUUAUAUUUUAUAUUUUUGAACUUUUUUCUAGAAUAUUAAACCUAAAUUUUUAAAAAUAAAAAUAAAAAUAAACACCAUCCACAUGCAUAUUCUGUAUAGGUGGUAACUCAUCUUUAACUAGCUAGUUGGAAAGUAAUUUUAGAAGCAUGCAUAAGUUAUUAUUCUAAUACAUGAUUUGGAUAUUAUUUUCCCCAAUAUAUACUAUCCAUAAAACUCACUUUUUUAACUUCUUAAUUCAUCCAUAUUUUUAAAAUAAAGGACCUUUACAUGAUUCCCCAAAGUUUUUUUAUUGCAAUGCCGCAUUGCUUGGCUUCCAAAUAUACUGAAGUUCAUGGACAAGGAGUAUUGUUCAUAGGAGAUGACAAUUGGCAAGUAGUACAAUUAUUAACUCUCUACGUAAAUUUACUGUUAAGAUACAGUCCAAAUGCAGCCUAGGAAUUGCUAAACAUGUGGUUCAAAUGCAUAUCUUGGAUAGGGUUCAGGCAUCCUGUUAUUAUGACAAAUACAGCCAUGAUCUUCUAACAAAGCUGAGAUUGUGAUCGCUUUUAGGCAUCCUGUUCAUCUUGUAUUUGGGAUUCCAUCAAUUAAUUUCUUAGGAGUUCAAUCAUGCACUAAUUCUUUGAUAAAUAGGAAGAACGAAAAAUACAAAAUAAUUUAAUAAAAUAAACAUUUUCUUUAUUUUUAUUAGAUUCCUGCAUUUGAACUCCUGAAGAAUUCUAUUUAAUAAAAGAAAGAUAUAAUUUGAAACUCCAGACAAGUUUUAAGCAACAAAUUCUCAAUCCAUUUCAAAGGACACUGACACGGACCUCAACCACUACCAUUUAUAGCUGCACGAGUUAUGUUUAAGUUGGGACUUCUAAUUUUAAAAUUAGUGGGAUUGAAACACGUAGAGGAGCAAAAAAAAAUAAAGAAAAAGGAGAAGAUUUUAGCAAGGUUUAAUAAUUAGUGUGAUUUUUACGUUUACAAAGCACAUCAACACUAAAGAAUUCGUUAAUUAAACAAAGAAAUCCCGAGCACUGUAUUGAAAAUUUUGACAAAAACAUUUAAAAGACAACCAACAAAAAUCAAGAAAGCAACAUUACAUCACAAAGGUAUCGAAAAUUUUGAUACAUGAAAUAUUAGCUAGCAUAGGUUGAGCACAACUAUAUAUUUAAUAGAAUGACUUAAAAGUGUUUUCAAAGUCAAAUAUUCUAAUUGGGCUCGCUGUGAUGGGAGCUCAUUUUUUUUUCUUUCUUCAAUAAGCUAUGUAUUGGAUCCCAUGGGUGGACCAUCAAGGAUACUCUCCCCGAGUGAUUUAUCGUUUGGUUAUUACAAUUCUCAACCAUUAUUUUAUAUUUUUCUUUUUUAAAUUAAUCCUUAUACCAUCAAUUUUCACCAUUGCUUUCAUUUUCAAAAUCUAGUUUCUAAACUUUUUGUAUUGCACCAUCUUCAAUCCUUAAAAUGAAUUCUUGUGAUUUGAUAUUUAGCUCACCAAGUUCAAAUAUUACUUGUAAUUGACAACCCUAUGCUCAAAGUGAAUACCAUGCAUUAUGGAUGUUCAACCAAAAUUUUUAUGUUAUUAUUGGGGGAGCUUUUCUUUUUUUUUUCGCAAAUAAUAUGGAUUCAAAUAUACCAUAUUAAUUGUGCCUAGCAAUUUGUUCAGAUUUAUCCUUGGAUCUAUCAACAAUUUUAAAUGUCCUAAAUAAAAGGGUUUUGUUUUAAGGGACAGGUAGAUAAAUUGAAAUGAUUCUAAAUGCAGUGCGGAAAUUAUAGUCAACGGCAACCACGCGGGUGUCCUUGUCAAUAAUGCAGCAAGCGUACGUGUCGUCACCCUGUGCGGGAUUGGUACCAUGUGGGUGUCCUUGUCAAUCAAAGCCCAUCCUGCUGCCUCCUGUGCACCAUCUUGUACCAAUCCCCGUCUUAUGCAUGGUUGCAAAUUGUUGAGACGAUGACAUAUGAGACUGAUCAUUUAUUUAUCAUCAUUUUUCAAUGAAGGUACUAUUAUUAGGCUAUUGCUCUGGCCCAUGAAGUAUUUUGCCUCUCGCAAUAUUCUUUUCUCCACAAAAUAGCUAGAGAACUACGAGAUAUAUGGUAUUGCUACUUGACAAAAACAUUUUAAGUUCUUUUUCUGCUAUCUAUUUAAUGCUGGGUUCGUAUUCUCAGCCACCCAUCCCCUGCUUCUUUUUGAGUGAGUGAGAGAGAUCGGUCAGCGUCAUUAGAUUGGAUGAGUAUGGGCUUACUAGGAUCAACAAAAUGUGUGGUACCUGUUGGUUCCUGCUCAAUAAUGACCCUUUAAGCAGCCGCCCCAGCGCCUCCAAUUUUUUAAGCAGAAAAUUGUGUUUUCAACCCUUAUAAUUUGAUAAUUAAGAUAAAAUUAGAAUGGAUGAAGAGUUUUUAUUUUAAGUACUCAAUUAAAAUAUUUUUAAAUAAUUUAAUUUUAGAAGUGGAUUAUAUCAAUACAUAGUAUAAAUUGAAUUUUUCUUAUAUAAAAGGAUUGAAAGGUAUAUUUACUUAUUUUAGAUGAAAACAAGUAGUUAAAAAUUAUAUAGAUUACAUUUGAGUUUGGUUUUAAAAUAUUUUUCUAGUCUUUAUUUUUUUAUUUUUAAAAAUAAUUUUUAUUUUUUAUAUUGCCUCUUUUUGAAAAUAGCAUUUAAUUAAAAAACUGAAAACUAUUUUUAAAAAUGAAAAUUGAAAACCUUGUUUAGCAUUAUUUUUUUAUAUGAAAAUAAAAAUAAAUAAAUUUAUUUAUUCAUUUAUGUGAAACCAAGGUUUGGUUGUGAAACCAAGGUUUGGUUAAUCUUGAUUUUGAUGAUAACAAAACAAGGUUUAGAACUAAUGAUCAUAUUUCAAGUGUGAUUAGGCAAGACGACUUCCAAAGUGGCAAUCCAAAAACAAAUCAAGCCAAGGAGAAAUCAUGAAGAAGAAGACCACCUCAAAGAGAAGAGUUUUUUCAAGACCAAAACUUCUUAAGAUCUCCUUGUAAAGUUGUUGGUGCACUAGGACUUUCAUGCAUUUCAUUCUUUAUUUAUGCACCAAAAUCAUCUAAGAGUAAUAUUGUUUUAAAUAUCUUAAGAAUCGGAUGAUUUCAUGUUUUCAACUAAAACCUUGUGUUAAAUGAUUUUCAAACUUGUGUUAAAAUGUUUUAAGUUGAAAAAGGUUGAGUGUUGAGCCAAAAAAAAUGGCUCAACCGGUUCAAACCGUCGACCGGUUGUGCUCGUCCGGUCAAGGACCGGUUGAGGGAGGCCAAAAAGUUUUUCUCUCUCCUAGUGGCUUUCUCUUCCCGGUCAAGGUUGAACCUCAACCGGUUGAAGUCCGAUUGAGGCCCAACGGUCACUUUUCCUAACGGCUAGUCAACCGGUCGAACCCCCAAUGGCUAGUUUGGCUUUUUUCUUCUAUAAAAAGGCUUCAAUCUUCAUUGUUUUACAAGCUUAACCUUCCUAAAUCAUUCUUGAUUAUAUUUGAGCCUUGGAAGAGUGUUUUUGAGUGCACCAUUGUUUCAUAACUUGCAUAUCUUUAGUGCACCAUUCAAUCCUAAUUUUUCUUGUAUCUUUGAGUUUAAAGUUCUAUUACUAGGAUUUUUGUGAGAUCAUUAUUUGUAUAUCUUUGUGAGGAAUUUUCUCAAGUGAGGGGUAUCACUUGAGAGGUUGUUCAAGAGAGGGACAUCUCUUGAAGAAGUGUAAAGGGUGCUUAGAGCCAAAAGUCCAAGAGGGUGAAUUGGAACCAUAAUCCAAUUGUAAAGAGAUUGGAAGCUUGGUUGAAGCUUCAAGAUAGUGGAACCCUCACUCGGUUAGGAGGUUGAGGAGAGUGGACGUAGGCAAGGAAGUGCCGAACCACUAUAAACUCUCGUGUUUGCACUCUCUCUUCCCUAACUCUUUUAAAUUAUAUGCAAUUAUCUUUAUUUUGUUUAUUAUAUACUUGCAUAUAAUUGUCUCUUAUUUUUGCAUAGUUUAAAUUUGUGAAAAAGAGACCAUCACCCCAUUUACCCCCCCCCCCCCUCUAGGGUGAUUACCAUAGUUUGGAUUAGCCUCAAAUUCCUAACAAUUUAUUGUGUUACUAUACAAUUGUAUUACACUAAUCGUACAAGGGAAAUGUACUAAGUGUACAAAAGUGGACAAGGAUACCAUUUGUGAAAUAUUAUAAUUGAUUAUGAGUCAUUCCUUUAUUUUUCUUAUCACUCAUGUAUUGUCCACGUAUGUCAUGCACUUUAUUUAAUUCCUACAUGGAAAUUCUAAUACUUUUCCCAAUAAUGAUAUUUGGGGAAAAAAAUUUUGACCUUAAGUCAUCCACCAUCUUCUCAACUAAACCAUUGAAAAUAUGAUUAAACACUCCUACAUAUACACAUAAUUUAAGAGGGAUAUGAAAUUUGUGUUAUUAUACAAGGGUAUUACACUAACUGUACAGGGGAAAUGUACUAAUUGUACAAAGGUGCACAAGAUUACCUUUUGUAAAUGAUUUUAAUCAAUUCUAAACCACUUUUUUAUUUUCUCUAUCACUCAAGGAUUGUACACAUAUGUUAUGCACUUUAUUUAACUCUCACAUGAAAAUUCAAAUAUUUUCCCCAAUAAUGAUAUCUGGGGAAAAAAAAUUGAUCCUAAGUUAUUCACUAUUUUUUCAAUCAAACCAUUGAAAAUAUGAUUAAUACAUCUAUAUGGACAUAUAACUUAUGGGGGAUAUGAAAUUUGUGUCAUUGUACAAGAGUAUUACACUAAUUAUAUAAGGGAAAUAUGCUAAGUGUACAAGUGUACAAGGCUCCUAAUAGGUUUUGUACGAUUUUUAAACAACUUGAGUUUGACAUUAAGAUGAUUAUUGAUAGUUUUGUUUUGUUUUUUUUACCAAACUAUGUCAUUAAGACAUUCCUUACAAAAAUUAACACAUAGGAAAUAAAAUUAAAAUAAAUCAUAUUUGAAUUGUUCAUUAUAAGUAAACUAAAUGAAAUAUAUUUUUUUACUAUUUUGCCUUUAUAAACAUAAUUUUAUUGUUAUCAAUAGAGUUUAAAAAAUCAUAUUUAAAUGGAAUUAAAAAUAAACAAAAAUUAUUUUUAUAACAUUUUUUAUUUUUUUAAAUCAUUAAUUUAAAUUAUGAAAUUAGUUUUAAAAUUAAAAAUAUUUGUUGUAAUUAUAGUUUUGAAGAUUUCAUGAUUUUUAUCUUAUUACUUUGAAAAAAUUGCUUUAAGAAGAAAGUAUUUAUUUUAAUGGUUUUAAAUAUUUAAAUCUUUAUUAAAAAAUAUUUAGGAUUAGUGUGGAGAGCAAUUAGGUAAUUUUGGAAUGGAGAAAUUUUGAAUACUUUGAAAACUUUAAUUCGGCCAAUUACCUUAUUUACACUUUUAAAAUUAUUGGAAGGUUGGUAAAUUAGUCUUAGAAAUAUUGUCUUCUUGAUUAAUAUUAUAUAUAUAUGCAUGUGAGUGUUUACAUUAUUUUCGAAAUAAUAUGAGAAAUAAUAAACAACAUGUGUCUAAUUUGCAAGUUAGAAAAAAAAAUUAAUAAUACUUUAUGAGGUAUUUAAAAAGUAUUUAUUAUAUGUUCUAUAAAUUUGAAAAAAAAAUAUUCAUAAUAUCUAAUUUACAAGUUAGAACAAACAAAUAAUACUAAUAUUUUAUGAGGUGUUUAAAAAUUAUUUAAUAUAUAUGAGAAAUAAUAUAAGUUUGAAAAAAUAAUAAUAUUUGAUGAGGUAUUUAAAAGUUAUUCACUUCAAAAAUGUAUUUGACAAUAAUAAUUUUUAACUAUCUUUCAUAUUCAAUUUGAUGAAGAAAAAUGAUUCAACUUAGUUCCACUAUUAAAUAGGUGAGAAAAUGGUAAAAGAGUUAAAGAGGGAAUGAGAAAGGUAAAGUGAUUGGUUAGUUUUUUCAUUUAAUAGUUAAGGGUAUUUUGGGGAUUUUUUUUAAAGACAAUAUCCUUCCUUUCGAUUUCUACUAUUUCAUUGGGUUUUAAGUUUAAUUAUGAGUGAUAUUAUGACCUUACCUCAAUUACCCAAUUUAGCUGGCUGAAAACACAAUUCUCCAUUUUUUAUGAUUCUGCAAAAAGAUAUGUUUGGAUUUGUUUGGGCAAAUCUCUCCCAUGGCCAAGGCAACUUACAGGAUUUUUGAGGAAUAGAUUUAUGAGGGACCUAUUCUUUAUAUCUGCAUUUCUUGUCACAUUGUGAUUAUAUACGCCGAGCUUUAUAAUUUCCUUCAGGUCAUUAUAACUCCUUUUUAUCUUCACAUUUAGGACAUGUUUGGUACUUGGGAUGAGAAGUGGGAAUGAUCCUGUCAUCUCUUCCCAUGUUUGGAUGAUUCAAAUAUUAAUAGGAAUGGAAUUAAGAACGAUUCCAAAUAUAAUGAAAUCGAGUUGUAAGUGGGAUAUCAAUUCGUUAUUAGGAUGAUGUAUUUUGAUUCUUUAGUACAAGUUAUUUUUAAAAAUAUUUUUCAAAAAUUAAAAAACCAAAAUCUUUUUUUGGAUAAAUUGUUUUUAAAAAUAAAAUUUUAUUUUAUAUUGUAAAAUACAAUUUGUAAAUUCAAUUUAUAUAAUAUAAAUUAAAUUUAAUUCAAGUCUUAUUAAAAAUAAAAAUAUAUUUAAAUUUAUAAAUAAAUUAAAAAUUAAAUACUUCUUUAAUAAAAUUUUAAUAUUAAUAUUAUAAUAAAACCAUAAAUCAUAUAUAUAUAUAUAUAUAUAUAAUUGAAUAUCAACAUCUUAUAAAAGCAUAAUUAAUUUAUUUUAUUAAAAAUAAAUAAUAAUAAUUCAAAAUUAAUAACUUUUAAUACUAUUUUAUUUUAAAUGAAUUUAAAAACAAAUAAAGUUUAAUUUUUUAAAAGUAUAAAUGAGCUAAAUUUUUCAUUACAUUAGUAUAUACAUUUAUUACUCAAUUAUCGACAUGGUACUCUAAAUUUUUUUAUUUAAUUUAUAAUUAAUUAAUCAUUUUUUUAUUUCAAAUCAUUCUUACAAAUUAAAAGAUUCAUUAAAGAAUUUAAGUCUAUUAUUUUUUAUACUCAUUAUAUAUAGUUUUUGAGUUUCAUAUUAGCUUUAAAAAUUAUUAAAUUUAUUAAUAAAUUUAAUACAAAGUUUUGCUUGGUUUGAAAUCCAUUUCUCUAAUAAAAAGAACUCAGCAAAACAAUUCAUUAUUUUAUGUUUUUUUUUUCAAAAAAUAGAAAAAAAAUUACUUUUAGAUAACAAUAGCCAAAUAAUUAUAUAAUUUUUUUUUAAAAUUAUUAUUUUUAAAUCAUACGUCUCAAAUAGGUUUUCUAUUAUUUAGCCAAAAAAAACUCUUAAAGGUGUCUUUUAAAUAAAAAUUAAAAAUUAAUUUUAAUUAUGUAUAAAGUGAGAGGUUUUAUAAUGAAAAUAAAAAAUAUUUUAAACUAAAUAUACAAAUAUUACUAUCAAUUUAUUUCUUUUUUCAUUUUCAUUCUCGUACGUAUUUGGUAUGCGAGAAUAAGGAGUGGGAAUGAAUAUCUCAGUCAUUUUUUCUUUUAUUUCUAUAUUUGGAUAACUUAUAAAUAAUGAUGAGGAUGGAAUCAAAAGCGAUUGCAAUGAGAAUUAAAUCUCACUUAUAAGUGAGUUUUCAAUUCAUUUGAUUAUGAGGUAUUUUGAUUCCUUAAUGUAAGUUAUUUUUAAAAAUACUUUUUAAAAGUAAAAAAAAAAAAACAAAGGACUUUUUUAGAUAAGUUAUUUUUAAAAACAUUUUUUAUUUUGAUUUUAUAAAAAACACAGAUUAUAAAUUCAAUUUAUACAAUAUAAACUAAAUUUAAUUCAUGUCUGGUUAAAAAAAAAAACAAAUUUUUUAGUUACAAAUAAAUUUAAAAUAAAUAAUUUUUAAUAAAAUAUGAGAUGUUCAUUCCCGCUCCUACCAGUACCAAACAUGUCCUGAAAGUAGGUCUCUUCCAAGGCCCUUGGUUAGGAAAUCGACCAAAUUUUCUUUGGACUUGGACAUAUUCUAAAGCCACUGUCCCAUUAGAGAUGAGUCUUUUUACAUAUUUCCCAUUAAAGAUCUCACUAUAUACUCUGAGCAUUGCGGCAUGAUUUUCAUACCACACAAUGAUGGUUGACUCUGCCUUAUUCCAUAUCGGUACUUCUUCUGAUAUAUUCCUUAGCCACUUAGCUUUCUCUCCAGUAAAUGAGAGGGCCAUGAACUCAUACGGAAUUGUGGAAUGAAACCUUUUCUUGUAACCGUGGGAAUAUAUGAGCAUGGAUUUUGUACUAAGGUUGCCUAGACCACAAUGUAGGGUUGACACAAUUUUUGUGGCGUUAGAUCACUUCUCCAAGAUAGCUCACUUUAUUCCUUAUGAGAAUACCAUUGAUGCCUCACAAGUUUCUCAAUUGUUUUUCAAAGACACAGUUCGACUUCUUGAAGUUCCUUGGACCAACAGGUGACACAAGAUUCAUGAAUCAAUUUUGGCACACUCAAUUUAUAAGGACUAAACUACAAUUUUCAAGCACUUGCCAUCCAUAAACUGAUGGACAAUCAGAGAUGGUGAAUCAAACUUUGGGAAAUUUGCUAAGGAGUCCUACUGGUGGCAACCAUGAAAAGAAUAUGUUUUUUUUUCCUCAAUCAGAAGUCCUCUCUCUUGGUUUUUGUUUUUCUUCCUAAAACGACAGUCAAUACUUUUAUGUUGUGAAAAAAAUGAUUCUUAUAUUUAUAGUUUCAUUCAUGACUUGAAAUAAGAAAAUUGAUCAGUAAAACAACCAAUCAGGAUUCUUGGACAUCUUAAAAGGUAAUUCUGAAAACCUUAUUUUACAUCCGAGAUGGUUUAUGGAAAGAGUCAAAUUCAUAAUUUUAAUCAUUCACAUGUUCUAAAUCUAUGGAAGUGUAGCACGGAGGCUGAAGAACUUGCUAGUUAUGUUCUAAAUCUGAAGAGGUGAUUGGGUGAGGGUUUACUUAAGAAGGGAGUGUUUUAUACUAGGCACUUAUCACAAGCUCCAAUGCAAGAAUUUGAGUUUUGUCAGUGAACUACUACAGCUCAAGAUGCAAUUACGGUCAUUAAGAAAAGAAUCUAUGACAAUGAGUGAUUACUUUGCUAAGAUGGACGAUAUUGCAGAUCAAUGUGCAAUGGCUGGUUGUUUUGUCAGUGAUGAAGAUUUGGUACUUUAUAUUUUAGCAAGUCUCGGAUCAGAAUAUGAUCCACUUGUAUGCAGCAUUACCACCUGUAAUAGUACUGAUCAUCUUUCUCUAAAGGGGAUUCAUGCUCUUCUACUCAAUCACGAAAGUAUAAUUGAGCAAUUGUAUGCAACUAAUUCAGAUUCACACCAUUUAUUUGCCAAUUUUGCUGCUCAUAAAAAUGGAGGAAAUCAUGGUCGUGGAAAAGGAAAUUUGAACCCUCAAGGUCGAGGUAGAGGAAGAAAUGGAGGUUUUUCUAGUAGAGGCAAUGGCAAUAAACCUAUUUACCAAAUUUUUGGUAAAAAAGGACACAUAACCCUCACUUGUUGGCAUAGAAUGGAUGAGAACUUUCAGUCUACAUCAUCCGUUACUAGCAGCAACAAUUAUAAGACAACAGUCUACAUGGCCACACUAGAUACAAUGAUUGAUUCAAUGCAGACUUACUUCCGGUAGCUUUUGCCAUAACUUCUAGCAUCCAAUUUGGGUUACCAAAACCACCUCAAACCCCACUCUCAGAUGUUCAUACCUCACCUACCUCACAACCAUCUAUGUCUUUAUCUGCUCAUGCUCCAACUCCAUGUCACCCCAUGAUUACCCGAGCCAAAGCUGGCAUUUUUAAACCAAAAGUGUAUGCUGCCCUCAAACAUCCCUUGAGUUUCUCACAUGGUCCUAUUGAACCUAUGUGUGUAAAGCAAGCUCUUGCUUAUCCAAAUUGGAAGAUAUCAAUGGAAGAAGAAUACAAGGCUUUAAUGAGGAAUCACAUAUGGGACUUGGUACCUUAUCAGCCCCAAUAUAAUGUAGUGGGCAAUAAAUGGGUGUUUAAGUUGAAGUUUCACCCAGAUGGCACUCUUAAUAAACAUAAAGCUAGGUUUGUUGCCAAGAAAUUCCAUCAAACCCCAGGUGUGGAUUUUUCAAUAACUUAUAGUCCUGUGAUUAAACCUGCCACAAUUAGAGUUGUACUAACUCUAACAAUUGCUCAAGGAUGGGAAAUUAGGCAACUGGACAUAAAUAAUGCUUUUCUCAAUAGAUAUCUGCAAGAAGAUGUGUUUAUGUCUCAACCUGAAGGUUUCAUUCAUCCUACCAAGCCUCAUCAUAUUUUCAAACCGAGGAAAGCUCUCUAUGGUUUGAAAUGGGCUCUAAGGGUCUAGUUUGAUAAACUUAAAGAUGCAUUAUUGCAGUGGGGUUUUCAAGAUUCAAAGUCUGAUGUAUCUUUGUUCCUAUAUAAGACCAAAGGAAUCAUACUCAUGCUAUUGGUAUAAGUAGAUGACAUCUUGAUUACCGGAAAUAAUAGCAUAGUAAUUUCGGACUUGGUUCAUGACCUCAAUAAGAGUUUUCUUCUAAAGGAUGUUGGUUCAUUACAUUACUUCCUAGGAAUUGAAGCCUUUCGAGAUGAAACAGGUCUCUAUUUAACUCAUUCAAAAUACAUUGCCGACCUGCUUCAAAAGACAAAUAUGGAUACAAUAAAGCCCUUACCAACACUAGCUAUUUUUGGAAAAGUGUACUCCAAAUCAAGUAGUGAUCUAGGGAUAAUCCAAUCAUGUAUAGAAGCAUAGUUGGAGCCUUGCAAUAUGUUACAAUCACAAGACCUGAUAUAUCAUACAUGGUUAGUAAGUUGAGUCAGUUCUUACAAAGUCCAACAGAGAUACUUUGGAGAGCUUGUAAAAGAGUAUUACGAUAUUUGAAAGGAACUAUCACUCAUGGUUUGCAUUUCCAGCCAAACCAAUCUUUAAAUCUUGUGGGUUUCAUAUAUGCAGACUAGGAUAGCUGUCCAGAUGAUGGAAGAUCAACAAGUGGUUAUUGUGUGUAUCUAGGAGGUGAUCUUAUUUCUUGGAGCUCAAAGAAAUAAAGUGUUGUUGCUAGGUCUAGCACCAAAUCAGAAUAUCGAGGCUUAGCUCAUGUGACAGUUGAGGUGAUUUGGCUCAAGUCCCUAGCAACAAAAUUGGCCCUUCAAUUGAGAUUAAGACUGGCAAUCUAAUGUGAUAACCAAGGAGCCGCCUCACUAGCUGCUAAUCCCGUUUAUCAUGCUAGAACUAAGCAUAUUGAAAUUGAUAUACAUUUCAUUUGUGAUAAAGUACUUAAAAAAGAAUUGGAUAUAUGGUUUGUACCCUUAGUAGAUCAAAUAGUUGAUUUGUUUACAAAACCACUUUCAAUCACUCGAUUCUUGAAACUUAAGGCCAAACUCCAGGUGAAAGAAUCCUUCUUUUGUUUGAAGGGGCGUGUAACGACAAAUAGUGCACAACUGAAGAACAUAAUUGCAACAGCUUCAGCCAUGUCAUCCUCUCCGGAAGCUUCUGCCAUGUCAACUAUUAGCUAAAGAUUUGUUAGAUUCUAUUUUUGAUUAGUUAGCAUUAGCAAAUUAGUUAGCAAUAGAUUAGUAAGCAAAAUAGAACACUCUGCUUUUGUAUAUAUAUAAGUAGAAUAGAACCAACCUCUGUUUCAAGUAAUGAGAAACAUAAAUAGUUUUCUUCACACAUAGGAUUUGUUAUUUUUAUUUUUCUAAAAAUGUUAUAUAUUAAAGGAGACAUAAUAUUUACGGGGUUCUAUAAGAAUGUGUUAUCUAGAUCCUCAAAUAAUGAUUAAUCCAUUAAUUUUCAAAUCAAAACUACAAAGUAAAUUAAGAGAGCUUUCUCCACAUAAAUUGGUUAAAGCCUUUAAGAUUGGCAAAAACCACAAAGAUGGACUAAAGUUAUUCUAACAACUCUACCUAAAGUCAUUCUCACACACUCAAGCCACACUCUAACCAAAGGAAUUAGACUUCUUACUAGGACCACAAACCUUCAGAAAACCAAUUCCUACUCUUUGUAGUACAAAGACUCCUAACAUGUAACAAAUUAAUUAUCAAAUCAUAAUCCUUUAGGACAAAGAUUCCUAAAAUACAUCAAGUUUUUAAUUUUGUUAAAAAACAAUAAAUCUUUACCUUAAACAAAUUUUAAAUUUUCUUCCAACUUUCCAAAUUCAAAACAUUCUUUGAUAAGCGAACACUUACAUAUAUAAUCAGAAUAGUGCAAUUAUAAAGAUGUCUUAUGCGUGGAAUAUUGAAGCCAAGUCAACUGAAAUGUUGAUACUGGGUCAACUGAAGGUAGCUUCUCCAUUGGUUGUGAUAGUGGAAGCUUCUUCCCAACAACUGGAGACUGGGUCGACUUCUCCCUUACACAAAGGAUGUUCGGACAGGUUGUCCGAGCACACUCUCCGAAGCUCAAGUCAGGCACCAAAUGGAUAGGAACCUUUAGAAAGGAGAGUAAAUAGGGGAACCCUCUAGUCUUGCGUACCUGGGCUCUGUUUUAAGAGGAUUUUUAUUGUGCUCAAGGGGAAAAGCACUGUAGUGCUAAGUUGGCACCUUGACCUAAUCUGUAAUAAUGGAAGUGAAGAGAUAGAGGGUUAUGAGGAUAGGCUUUGAGAAAAAAAGUUAACGAUGUUUCAUAAUUGAGAACCUGGGUGGGCAUUCUAUUUAUUAGAUAACAUAGUAAGAACAACAUUCCCUUAGAGGUAUUUUGACAUAUUAUUUGUGAAUAUAAUGGCUCUAGCUACUUCUAGAAGGUGGUGAUCCUUUCUUUCAACAAUGUAAUUUUGUUGUGGGGUUAUUAUGUAGGAGAUUUGAUGAAUAAUGCCUUUCUUAGAGAGAGAACUUCCUAGAAUAGAUUUAAAAUAUUCUUUUUCGUUGUCUAUUUUGAGAAUUUUAAUGUUCGCAAUGUAUUGGGUGUUAAUCAUGACAUAAAAUUUUUUGAACACUCACUCUAGUUCUGAUUUUUCUUUCAAAAGAUAUACCCAACAAACCCAAGCGUGAUCAUCAAUAAAUGUGAUAAAUCAUUUUUUUUCAUUAAAUGUUUAACUCGUGAAGGGCCUUAAAUAUUACUAUGGACUAAUGAAAAAGAUGAUGAAGACUUAUUUUUUAGGAGAAUAAAUGAAAUGAACAUGCUUGGCUAAGUGACAAAUUUCACAUUCAAAGAAAUCUCCAUUAUGAAAUAGUGAUGGAAACAAAGUUCAUAAAUAUGAAAAGCUUAGGUGGCUUAGUCUAUGAUGGCACAACAUUAUUUUUUGUUCUUUAGAAAGAGACUUACAACUCACAGUUUGAGCUUGUUUAUUCAAUUCGACUUCCUUCUCAAAAUAAUAUAACCCCUCAUGUUCUUUAGCAUUGCCAAUCUUCUUCCCCUAAAUCAGGUCUUGAAACACAGAAGAAGACUCAAAGAAAUGAGCACCACACUUUAAAUCUUUAGUCAACUUACUAAUAGAAAGAAGGUUGCAAGACAAAUUUGGAACAUGCAAUACAAAGUGUGGUUCAAUAUUAGGACCAAUUCUAAUAGCUCUAGUUCUACCACUGGUGAAAGAGAUCUUUCUCCUAUUUUAUCUUUGAAACUUCCUAAACUAGGAUUAUAUGAUGAGAAAAUUUUUCAUAGCCCAUCAUGUGAUCUAUGGCUCUAGAGUCAAUCACUCAUGGUUCCAGAUCCCUACUACAACUACUAAGAGCUAAGAAAAAAUUACCUCCAUAUGCUAGUAAUAAAGUAGUGGUGUCCUGUGAUGGUUUGAGUAGUUUGUACAAUUUUUUCAUUUUUCCUUUGGUAAGCAAGAACUAUGUACGUUCUCCAAAUUUUACCUCAAGCUAGGACCCGAUUUGUUAGAAAUCUCAGCUAAAAUUUGAAAACCAGAGUGAUCUCGAUUUCCAACCCUACUGUCCUUUGAAUUUGGUGGCUUACCAUGUAACUUCUUGUAGCAAUCUUUAGUGUGAUUUGUUUUCUUAUAGAAAUCACACCAAAGAUUGUUUAUCUUUUACUUCUUAGGGCAUUCUUAACCACAAACUUUGAAACUUCAGGUAAUGAUGGUUUUGAUCCACCUAUCAUAACCCAUUUUCGGCUUGACUCUCUUUGAACUUCAACAAAUAUUUAAGUAAUCAAUGGGAAAGGUUUGAUUCCUAGAAGUCAACCCCUGACUUCAUCAAGAUCAGGAUUUAAUCCUACCAAAAAAUAUCAGACUCGUUCUGUUUUAACCUACUUUUUGUAAAGUUUAGCAUCCUUAGGAUUUGACCAUGGAAUUUGGACAUAAAGAUCAAUUAAUUUAUUGCCACAAGUGAGUCAAGGCAUUGAAUUAUUAGGUAACAUCCAACUCCCCUAGUUUCAAAUCACGGGCUCCAUUUCCAAGUUAAAAAAAUUGGGUUAAGUUUUCCAUGUCUAAGCAUGCUAAAGUUUGUGCAUCCCACAUCUCCUUAGCAAUGGAAUAAUAUAAGAUAAGAUUCCUUGAUAUCUUAUUUCAUGGAGUUCACAAUCAAUGCCAUAACCAUAGAGUUUCGUGCAUCCCAUGUUGGAAAAGAGAGAUUUCUUGGAUUAUGUUUUAUUAUUGAACCAUCCACAUAUAACUAAGGUGGUCUCAUCCUCAUAUCACCAUUAGAGCAUACGGAGACCAUUGAAGGAAACUUUGAUUAUUUAGUUUCGUGGUUGUAAUUUGAAGCGGAGAAUUUUCAAAAAAAAAGUUGAAAACGAGGCUAUAGUGGAUGAACUUGUAGGGAUGGGUUGAGAGACUUUUGAAAAGACCUCAAAACUAGCAUCCUUGCACUCACCAGUGAAGGUUGUUCUAUACAUCUUUUUGUCUCAACUGAUACUAGCUCUGAUACCAUGAAAUUGGGUAAGAAAAAAAAAAACAGACCGUAAAUUGGAGAUUGCUUUUGUUUUAUUAUUUUAUUUCUUCAAUACAAGUAGAUUUAUAGGAUAGGUUUUGUAACAACCAACCCUUUAUUUUAAGAGAUUGACACCAGCUAUUUUUUAGGAUAUUCUAAUCAACUAUAAUAUCACAACUAGCAAUUAUCCUUAUUUAGAGAAUAGUAAUUAUCCAAGAUUCUCUAUAAUCUAUUUCCUACUUACCCUUGGAUCUCUAUUUUCUUUACAAGAUGCCAACUAGUGGAGGAGCUUUUAGGAUAACAUUUUGGGACCUAUAAAAGCCCUCAUAUCCGUUAGAAAUGGAACUUUGGGUUAUUAGGGAGAAGGAAAGAAGUUGAGUUUCAUCUAGCAUCUCUAUUAACUCCUGUCUUUUCUUAAGCUUAGUAAUUUUUCGUUGCAUUAUUCAUAAGUAACUAGCCUUUGAUUUUAGUCUUAUUCCUCAAAGUUUUUUUUAGAGAUUUUGAGAACUUUAUGUUUCAUCAUGAUGUUGAUUUUAAUUGUAGAUUCUAAGAUGGUUUUCUUUGUUCUUCUAGUUUUGAGUUGUGAGUAGUUUUCUAAGCUUGAGAGGAGGAGUCCAUGAGACUUCUUUCAUGAAAAACUAAUUUACAUCAUGGGGUGAAUGGAUAGUGUUUCUACCUAGUAAUUGGAGUCCUUAUUUUGUUUGGGAAGAAACCCUAUUUUCCUCUUCUUGAAAUGGAAACUUAGAGGUGGUUUAUUUUAGUUUAUUUAUUUAAUUUUUUUUUUUUGGUUACUUCAAGUUCUUGAGGAUCUUAGGACUUUUGACUUGAAAUCACUUCCAUUAAGCUUUAUGUAAAAUGCAAAAUGAACUUAAAGAUUACAAUGUUGUGGAGGUAUUUAAAUAAAAUUUCUUUUGAGCUUUAGUUGGUAAUUUCUCACAAGUGUUUUCAGUUGUAGGUUUUUUUAUUGUGCAUUGGUUGUGAAAAUGAGCCUCAUUAGACUCCGAUCCUUAGCAUUUAAAUUUCUCUUUUAGCUAUAAAAUGGUAGGUUCAAGUGUCAAAAUUUUGUUAUUUUCUAUUUUUUUUUUCAUCAUAAAAUGUGAUUGUUCAGUGAUAUUCCAAUUUGGUCACAAACACUUAAUUUUUUUUGCGAAGAAACAGAAGAUUCAUAGAUCACAACUUUUAGUGAUGAGCUUUUAUUUACAAAUUUCAUGACAAAUUUUUUUAAAUAGUGGUGAUUUAUUAUUUAUUUAUGACAAAUACUUUCAUGACAAAAAUUGAUACUUGUUGUAGUGAGGUAUUUAAAUAAAAUUUCUUUUAGGCUUUAGUUGGGGAUUACUAAUGAGUGUUCUCAGUCCUUGGUUUUUUAUUGUGCAUUGGUUUUUAAAGAUGAAGCCUUAUUGGACCCCCAAUCCUUGGUAUUUAAAUUAAUUUGUUUUUUGCAUAGAUACAAAAUCAAUUUUCUUCUAUUUCUCAAAAUAUUUUUGGAGGUUCUCUAAUUUAUUAACCUCAUAUUAAACAAGCCUCUUUCAACCACUUAUUCAAGAGAAAAUCAUUCCCACUUUUGGAACUAAUUCACCACAUAUCUCCCCAUCUUUUGCUAUCAUUUAAAACACUCUUCUUGAGAAAACUAUACCUGAACCACCAUAUUUUUUACUUGCAAAGACUCCUCAUACUUAGGAAUUGGUACCAUCACAUUUGCAUUUCAAGCAAACACAUGAUAGUGUAGACCCUCAAUUUUAUCCCUUUAGCACAUGUCUUUAAGUUCACUUCCAAUGCUUCACAGUAGUUCCUUGGUGGCCCAUAGCUACUCAUACUACUUACAUUUUUUGAGCCACCUUGGAGACUUUGGUUGAGGGAUUUAUCUAACCCCGUUGUGACUCUUGGCAGCCUUAAUUUAGACUUAGGCCCACUUAGGCACCCUAGACCCAUUUAGAUACACUUGGCCCAUUAGGCAUUACCUUAGGCCCAUUUAGAUGCACUUGGAACCUUCUAGCUUGCACACAUUCACCCUAGGUUACUUAGUCAAUCUUUCAGAAUAGGUCACUUGGACACUUCUUUUGGAAUAGUUCACUUAGGCAUGUGCUUGAUUUUGGUUAUUUAUUUUUCAGGAUAAGAUGAGUGUUGGCUUGACUUUUUAUUACAUGAAAUGAAUUUUUUAUUCUAUCUUUAUUUUAUUUUUAUUUUUAUUUUUGAAGGUUUGAGUUUGACAUUUAAAUUAUUAUAAUCCGUUGCAUUACUUUAUUUUCUUGAUUUUUUUUAAUUGCAUACGUCUUAUAUUUUUUGUUAUACCCUUAUCGAUUUAUUUGUUUAUUUACUCACUUAUUCAUUUAUUCUUUAAUUCCAUGAAUUGACAUUUUGGAUUUUUGUGGCUAUGUGAUUUGAUUUUAUAUUUGAUUUUAUUCUAUUUCCAAUUACAUGAUUUCUUAUUUCAACUUUAUUUUAAAUUUUGCAUGAGACUUGGAGCCAUCAAGGAGAGGAGAUCACGACCAAAGAGGGAAACUUGGAAGGAAUCCGGGCUGCAUAUAGAAAGUGGGCAGAUCACGACUUUAAGAAAGAAUCCGGGCUGCAUAUGAUUUGUUUGAAGAAAGAAUCCGGGCUGCAUAUAGAAAGUGGGCAGAUCACGGUUGAGGCACAUCCGGGAGCAUAUGGAAAGAAGAUUAAAGGGGAUCUGAUCACUUACCAAACAAGAUACGACUGCAUCCUUGGGGAAAUCUCCAUGUGAGCCACACAUAAUGGGCUUCCCAUAUCCACGCGCAUGUAGGAAAAAAUGGAAAUAAGAUAUUCCAUAAGGAGUGGGUUGCCUUAUAAAUAAAGGAGAGAAUCCAAGCAUAAGAGGAAUUUUUUUUUCGAAGGGGAAUAGGCCGAAAGAAUUUUCAAACGGAGACUUUUCUUUUGGAGGGCAGAGAGGACACGAGAGCAAUUCUUUUGAGAAGACGUGUGAAGAACAUUGAAGAGCCGACACAUAACCAUAAAAAAGGGAGGAGCAGCCCACAAAAUCUCCACAAAUAACGGUUUAUAGGUAAGUGUACGCUUUCAAAUUUAUCUUUGAUUUCGUUUUGAUUCGUCCUUUUAGUCUUGAGUGUUUUAAUGAUUUUUGUUCUUUGAUUUAAUUAAUCCUAUAUAAUAAAUUUCUUGUUUUAAUUUCGAUUUAGUUUUAAUUUAUUUUUCUUCUUUAGUUUGGAUGUGUUUGUGGUUUUAAUUCUUUAGUUUAAUUUAUCCCAUUAGAUAAAGUUCCUUUUUUUAUUUAUUCCAAUUCGAUUUAGUUUUAAUUUAUCUUUUAUGUUUAGAUGUGUUUGUAGUUUUCUUUAAUUUAAUUGUUUUUAUUAUAAAAGUCCCUAUUUUUAAUUUUGAUCUAGUUCAAUUUUAAUAUAUUUUUUAUGUUUAGAUGUGUUUGUGAUAUUAAUUCAUCAGUUUAAUUAUUUCUAUUAGAAAAGUUUUGUUUUUAAUUUUGAUUUAGUUCACUGUUAAUCUACCUUUUAUGUUUAGUGUUUGUCGUUUUAAUUCGUUAGUUUAACUGUUCAUAUUAGAAAAGUUCUUAUUUUUAAUUUCAAUUUAGUUCAAUUUUAAUCUAUCUCAUAUAUUUGUGAUUUUAAUUCGUUAGUUUAAUUAUUCCUAUUAGUAAAGUUCUUAUUUUUAAUUUCAAUUUAGUUCGAUUUUAAUCUAUCCUAUAUGUUUUUGCGAUUUUAAUUCGUUAGUUUAAUUAUUCGUAUUAGAAAAGUUCUUAUUUUUAAUUUCAAUUUAGUUCAAUUUUAAUCUCUCCUAUAUGUUUAAAUGUGUUUGAGAUGUUAAUUCAUUAGUUUAAGUAUUCCUCAUAGAUAAAGUUCACAUUUUUAAAAUCCCAAAUUAGUUUAAAUUUUAAUUUAGCUGUUAGUUUAAAUAUGUUUGUGAUUUUAAUUCCUUAGUUUAAGUAAUUUAAGAGAUAAAGUUUAAUUUUAUUUUAUUUUUUUUUGGAUUAAUUUAGUUUUAGUUUAUAAUUUAAUUUGAAUGCGUUAAUGAUUUCAAUUCCUUAGUUUAAAUAAUUUGUGAGAUAAAGUUUACUUUCUUUAAUUUCAAAUUAACUUAGUUUUAGUUUAUGAUUUAAUUUGAAUGUGCAAGUGAUCCUAAUUAGUUUGAUUUUAAUUUGUUUUUAGUUUAAAUAAUCACGCUAAAUAAAGUUUGUGUUUUUAAUUCCAAUUACUUUAAUUUUAAUUCAUUUUUAACUUAAAGGCAUUCGUGGAUCUUAAUUCUUUAGUUUAAAUGAUUGUAUCAAGUAAAGUUUGAGUUUUUAAUAUUCCAAUAAUUUUAUUAAGUAGAAUUUAAUUUCAAUUCAGUUUGAUUUUAAUUUGUUUUAUAAUCCGAAGGUGUUCCUGAUUUUAAUUCAAUUGUUUGAUUAACCCUCUUAGACAAAUUCCAUAUUUUUAAUUUCGAUCUUAGUUUAAUUUUAUUUUGUUAAUUUAUUUAUUUGCUUUAGUUUAAAUAUAUUUGUGAUUUCAAUUUGAUAGUUUAGCCAAUCUUAUUAGAUGAUGAUGAUGUCCUUAAUUUAAUCUAGUAUUAAUUAUUUUUAGUAUUGAAUGUGUUUGUGUUUUUUAUUUCAUUAACUUUGAAUUUAAUCCAUUUAUAUCCAAUUUUGUAGUUGAUUAUAAUUUGGUUUAAUUAAUUAAGUCAAUCACGUGUAAUUAUUUUCAUGUUUUAAGUAUGGUAAUUUUGGCUUUGAUCUAUUGACAUUUAGUAUGAGCUUUAGGAAUUUUAGAUAAUUAAUCCAGUUAAUUGUAUGUCAUUGGUUUCAUACCUUCAAGAUUUUUGAACUUUGGUCUUUGAUUCAUCAUAUUUUGUUAAAAUGCUAAUUUACCUUAAUUAAUUCCAUAUUAUUAUCUCCAUAUGCUAAGUUUGUUGGCUUUAAUAUUUGAUUGGUUAUUUUUAUUUUAAUUCAUGUGCUUCUUGAAAUCUAAAUGUUAGUCUUGGGUAAUAUUUUGUUAGUUUGUUUUAUUAGGAAGUCAUAAAUUUGAUGCCUUAGUGAUUGUUAGUUAAAUUCUUAUUUUUUGAAGGCCACUGGAAACUCAUGAAGGUUGGUCUUACCCUCACCACUUUAAUUGACAUGAUUUUCUAAAUCUUUAUUUUGUGAUUUUCGCUUUCUUUUGUUUUGAUUGGUAUUUUGUUUUCUAUGUUUUAUUAUUUUAAAAAUUAAUUCCUUUUAUUUUAAAAUCAAAACCUUUUUCUCCGAAGACCCCUUUAAGAAAUUCUUUUUUUUUAAAAAAAAAAGAAGAAAAAAUUCAUUUAGAGUUGUUAGAAUAAAAAAACCCCAUUUUCUUAAAAUAAUAUGCAACCAUUUUUUGAUCGGUUUGCAUCUUUCUCCGUUUUUUAAUGAAAAUUUUGGUUUAAAAUCAGACACGAAUCCAAGCUUAUGGUCCCACAUAAAUGGGAUAAUUCCAGGUUAGAUUUGUGUAUAUCAAUCGGGGAAUUGGUGAAACCCCUACAUAAAAAAAAAAUAAUAAUAAAAAAAAAAUAAAAAAAUAAAAAAUCUUUUCAAAACUUAUUUUUGCUACCGUCUUUGUUGGUUGUUACAAUCAUAUCUAUUUUUUUUGGAAUUGUACAUAAGAUGUGUGUAAUAAUUGAUGAUUUCGUAUUCUUUGAUCAUUUUUGCUAUGCCAAUUAGUUAAGCAUGUUAGGGUUUCUUAUUUUACUAUUUAUUAUCUAAGCCCCCCCCCCCUCUCCUGCGGAAGCACACUAUGAGCUAUAUAUGCUAUCCAGGUACGUUCCCUAAUACCCACUUUCUAAACCCCGUGAACAUGAUUGUCAUUGCGUACUAUGCCCAUGCUUGCUAUCCUAUUUGAUUGCCUUGAUAUAUAUUUGAUGCUUGUUUGAUUAUCUUUGACAAAAACACAUGUUGUGAUAUAUUUCUAUAUUAACUUUUAUGUUUCAUGAUAUCACUUGAGAAGCCGUUCAGGUACGCACUUUGAUUCUCUCUUAUGAUCAGACUUUCUUAUUUGACAUGCUAUUUUUUGAAAUCACCUAGCCUACCUAGGUAUCCAUGAUCAACCAUUUAAUUGCCACGUUUCCCUCAACUUAGUCAGUAGAGACCUCUUUAGGGCUUAGAAGGGUGCUACCUCCUAGAGGUACCUUCCUAGUAAGUAACCUGAUUCCCGGACCUAGACUCGGUUUUUUCAAAGAGAUGAUUUUUCCAAAAAUUAUGGAGUCACAUUUUAGGAUUUUUCUUUCUUGUUUUAUUUUCCCUUUAAAAUAAAAAUAAAAUAAGUGGCGACUCCGACUUUUUCCAAAAUUAAUUUUUCACAAAUAGAAAAGCAAGUCUCACCGAUCGAGCCCGCAUGUGAAAAAUACGGGUCCACAAAUUGGCGACUCCACUAGGGAUUUUGAGGAUCAAGCUUGAACACUAAUUGAGAAAAAUGUGGCAUUUAAUUGGUUGAUUAGAGGGUACCCCUUUUUUAGGCAAGGUGAUCUGGUCUACUUGUUUGUUUAGAAUGAUAUCUUAACAUGUUUGAUUGCCUUGAAUGAUCACUUGAUUGCUUACUCACUUCAGCAUGAUUCACUCUCACAUAUGCUAGAUAGGACUUUGAUUGUUUGAUAUUUAUCUGCUUCGCAUGACUGCUUGUUGCAUAACAACCAUUUCUCUUGCGUGUUCGUAUGAUUGCUUGUCUUCAUUCACUAUCUCACUUUAGAUCUUAGGUUUUUCGGAUACACCCACAUCCUUCAUUGUGCACUUUAGAUUAUCCUUGAGUGUUGAGAGAUGGGAGAGCCUUCACCAUAAAGAAACCCCCUAGGGACGCGAGGAAGUGCAUGUGUGGAGGUGAUGACCACCUUGCAUGGAAGCACCCCGUCUCCUUGGAGGCGUGCAGAGGGUUGCGUACCACUGGAGGGUACGAUCGCUUCUGCUAGGGAUCCUUUAACCCACCCAUUUUAUCCUAUAGCCACCUCAACCUUGUAAGUUAACUUAGACCCAAUUAAGAUUUCAUUCCUACACGUGGGUGCAUCUGUGGACCUUCAGAGCUGCCUUGGUCAUGAUUGGGUUCGGUUAUCCCUUAUGUAGUCUCCUUUUGGUGUGAUCAGAGAUGAGUAUCAGAUUGAGUAUAUUUGGGCUUUACUUCUACGCACUUGUCAGUUGAUUCCUACAGAGUCACAUUCGUACCGCACCUUAUCCAGUGUUUCCAUAUUUGUAGGAGGGUUUACCUUGACCGAUCUGGAUUCACUUUUGUGGAUUAGAGUUGAAGGUAGAUUGACCAGAGUAUCAGACCAGUCAGAUUAGAGAUCAGAUCAGAGGGAUAUGGACUCACAGAUAGUUACCGUCGACCAGUUUGCCGCAGCCAUGGCUUCUAUCCAGGAGGCUAUAGCUAACCUUGGUCAGAGGAUAGAUGGACAACAGACCCAACAGGUCCCAAUUCAGGAGAAUGCCCAAUUCGAUACCACAGUACCGCCACCUCCUCCGCCCAGUUAGUCAGUACCAUAGGUUAUACCUUUCACUCUGCAUAGUCAGACCGAGGUUGCCCCGUUUCCUAUCACAUUGCCUAUCCCGACCUCAGAGGACCCACAUACACGUAUGGAUAAACUUGAGCAAAGGUUAAGACAGAUGAGGGCUUCAGACGGAGUUAUUACUUAGGAGGAUUUUGAUGGAGCACCGAUAGCCAGUUUGCUAGCCAAGUUUAGGAUGCCCGAGAUUGAGAGAUACACGGGCAUAGGCUAUCCUCACAUCCAUUUGAGGCUUUAUAGUACAGUUAUGAGGGCCCACGACUGGAUGAGGCCUAGAUGGUUAUGUUUUUCCCUAUGUCCCUGAGUGGUGCGGUACAGCGUUAGUUCGCUUCAUUGGAUGUAUCACACCGUAGGACUUGGGACGACUUGACCCGGGAGUUUUUGAGAUAGUUUGCAUUUAACACUAUCAUUGAUGUUUCGAGGAGAGAGUUAGAGGUUUUGAGAUAGAGGCUAGAGGAAUCAGUCACUUCAUUCAUCUCCCGCUGGAGGGAGAAGAUUUCACAGAUCAUUAAUCGUCCUUUAGAGAAGGAUCCGAUUAGCAUGAUCAUGAGGAGCUUGCAGCCUAAAUUUGCUAGACACUUGAUGAGAUUUCCCCACACGGAUUUUGGAUCUCUAGUACAGGGUUUGUAUGGUAUAGAGGAGGGCAUUGCUAGAGGAUUGUGGCCCGAGUCUUCCCAUACUGAUUCUAAGGGGAAGAAGCCUUUAGGAGGAUAGAGAUCAAGAGAUGUUGGUGCUAUCAGUUUAGCAGGGAUGAGACUUCCUAGACACUAUCAAACGGUUGGGCAAACUUUUGGAUUCUACUAACCACCAUCACCCCAUGUGUAGUAUAGGCCACCUGCUCCCUCCAGACCCAUUACUCCUACUUACCUACAUCCAGUCUCACAGCCUGCUUUUGUCACACAUGUUAUAGAGAGACCUCCUGCCCUAUACACCCGACCCCGAGCUCUGCAGACCACCACUUAUGUGUAGAGGCCAUCACAUUAGUUCGCUUAGUUAGGUAUGCCUUUGAGUCGAGCUUUUCAUAAGCUUAUAAAGGGUGGAUUAUUGACUCCAUUGGCACCCAAGCCAGUACCUCAGCCAGUACCGCCUCAUUUUAGAUUUGACCUACACUGUUCUUAUCAUCAGGGACCAGGACAUGACACGGAUCACUGCAACGCCUUGAGACAUGCUAUUCAGGAUUUGAUAGACCAGAGUUUAGUUAACUUGGGGCAGCCAAGUGUGACCACUAACCCUCUUCCUGCCCAUUCUACACACGCAGUGCUUCCAUCUCCAAGAGAUAUUCAUCACAUGGACCUUAUAGAGGAUGACAGUAUACAUAUGUUGAGUUGGGAUGAUGGGUUACCCGAGCAAAUUGUUUUGCAUGACAGUUAUGAGAUUGAUGGGGUUUCAUUGGGUUCUUAGGCCCCUACACCAUUCAGUUUGAUCCCAGACGAGGCACCAUUCCAGUUGACUCAUCCUACACCCUUGAUUAUUGGAUGUCAUGAUACUUUUGUCCCGUUCACUUUAUGGUCAGAGGAUGAUGAUUCGGAGGGAAGAGAGAUACAGAUUGUGACUUGUAAUGGAAAGAUAGCUCAGCUACUACCACUAGUAGUUAGACCAUUUGAGGGUGCAGCCUCUCAUGAGGAGGUUAGAAUAGAGGAUGAUGAAGUUUUGAGACAGCUACAGAGCACUCAGGCCCGUAUUUCUAUUUGGAGUUUAUUAACAUCAUCCAGUACUCAUAGAGAUGCUUUGAUUCGAGCCUUGAGUCAGAUCAGGGUAGAGACUACCACCACUCCAAAGAGAUUGAUUCAUAUGAUGAAGGCCGACAGGGCCACUUGCAUUGUGUUUUCAGAUGAUGACUUGCCACUUGAGGGUUCAGACCAUGUACGCCCUCUAUAUAUCACAGUUGGUUGUUCAAGCCAUAGAGUCCCAUCUGUCCUGCUGGACAAUGACUCAGCCCUGAAUGUCUGCCCUUUAGCCACUACUGUAACCCUUGGUUUUGCACCUUCAGAUUUUGGUCCUUUUGCUCAGACAGGCAGAGCAUAUGAUAGCACUAAGAGGGAGGUUGUGGGUACCUUGGUGAUUGAUUUGAAGAUUGGUCUAGCCACAUUCUCUACUUUGUUCUAGGUUUUGAGGAUUCCUACAUCCUUUAACCUGUUACUUGGUUGACUUUGGAUACAUAGAGCUGAAGCUAUCCCUACUUCCCUUCAUCAGAAGGUGAAGUUCAUUCAUAAUGGGCAGGUUGUCACAGUACAAUCUACCAGAGAUAUGUUAGCCUCUUCCGAGCCAGUACUUCAGAUUAGUCACAGUGAGGAUGACCUAUUUUUGACUCGAUUUACUUUUGAUGAAAUACAGACUCUCGAGAUUGAGGAUUUUCGUAAAGACUUUGUGGCUAUGUCAUUUGAUUAGCACAGUAGCAUAGUGGUUCUCGAUAUGAUGAGGGGUAUGACAUUUCUACCUAGUAUGGGGUUAGGACGACGCCAGUAGGGACCCAUCAAGUUUAUAGCUGCCAUUGAUCAUGAUACAACAUUUGGACUUGGGUUCAUUCCUACCGAGGUCGAUUACCGUUACAUGACGCGGCUGUGCAAGGAGAGGGUGAGGGCCUGUUUAUCCCACACACCAUUUGAUUAUCCUAUUCGACCCUAUAGGAUGAGUUUAGUCGACUACUUUGUCAGAGGACAAGAGAUUUGACCUCGUAUAGAGGAGAUUCACAGUAUGGUUCAUACAAAUAGAAAGAUUGAGCUUCAACAUCUAUUUCACCAGUUACAGUUGAGUAAUGGGGCUCCUGGCACUUCUGUUUCUAUAUCGAUUACUCCUACGUCUCCAGAUCGAGCUAGCAUGUGGUCUCUAUGCUUUCUAGAGGAGAUCACUGAUGAUGGAGUGAUUGUUGAUCCUACUGAGAUGAUUGAUGGAGUUGUGCCUCAUGAUGAGUACCGAGAUGAGAUGGACAUGAUGACCGUGAGCUAGAUUACCAGCAUUGUUUAGCUUAAGCCUGUUUCACCAUUUGAUAUGUUUGGGAUGUCUACCAUUGAGGUUCUUGAGAGGGCCUAGAUUAUUCCUGUUCCAGAGCUUCUAGAGGAUGAUAAUAGUUUGUUUGAGGGCUCUGUUAGCCCAGUUGAGGGAGCAUCCGACCUUAUGGACCCACCUCUUUCUUUUGAUGUUUUAUCGGGAUUUGUCUCCCGCUUUAACGAUGUUUUUGUUGCUUCAUUUAUGGAUUUGAGUAUUUUUUUAGUAUUCGCCUGCCUCUUGUGAUAGUACCUCUAUAUCUGCACCCCACUCACCCACUUCACAUAUAUUUGAUAUAGAUGAUGAGGUUGCACAACCCAAUCCAAAUAGGGACUCUUCUGAUCAUGACUCCGAUCUCGUGGAUGAGAAAGUUUCACCUGCUACAAGGGAUGUUGAGAAUGUUGAUUUUGGCAUAGAGGAUCAGCCUAGAGAGCUGAAGAUUGGUUCACCCCUAUCUACAAAUGAGAGAGAUAGACUUAUUCAUUUACUCAGGUCAUACUUGGAUGUCUUUGCAUGGUCUUAUGAGGACAUGCUUGGUCUUGAUCCCUCUAUAGUUCAACACCACUUACCUAUCCUACCACAUGCCAAACCAGUUAAGUAGAAAUUGAGACGAUUACAUCCACGUUGGAGUCUGCAGGUGAAAGAGGAGAUUCAGAAACAGCUCAGUGUUGGAUUCAUAUCAAUGGUUGAGUAUCCAGAGUGAUUGGCUAAUGUUGUCCCUGUUCCCAAAAAGGAUGGCAAAGUUAGAGUUUGUGUUGACUUUAGAGAUCUUAAUAAAACCAGCCCUAAAGAUGACUUUCCUCUCCCACACAUUGAUUUGUUGGUCGAUAGCACUGCAGGCCAUUCGCUGUUAUCUUUCAUGGAUGUGUUUUCAGGGUAUAAUCAGAUUUUGAUGACUCUAGAGGAUAUGGAGAAAACAACCUUUAUUACUGAGUGGGGUACCUACUGUUACAAGGUUAUGCCAUUUGGGUUAAAGAAUGAAGGAGCCACUUAUCAGAGGGUCGCUACUACUUUAUUUCAUGACAUGAUGCAUAGGGAUGUUGAAGUUUACGUGGAUGAUAUGAUUGUGAAAUCCCGAGGCAGAGUAGAUCACCUAGAGGCUCUAGAGAGAUUCUUUGAGAGGAUCCGAAAGUUUAGAUUGAGGUUAAAUCUUAAGAAGUGCACCUUCGGAGUGACUUCUGGGAAGUUAUUGGGACAUAUGGUUAGUGAGCGAGGCAUAGAGGUCAACCUAGAUAAAAUCAAAGCCAUACUUGACAUGCCUGCACCGAAGACUGAGAAAGAGAUUAGAGGUUUUCUGGGCAGAUUAUAGUACAUCAGUCGUUUCAUAGCCAGAUUGACAGACAUAUGUGAGCCUAUCUUUUGUCUUUUGAGGAAGAACCAACCAACAGUUUGGAGCGAUGAUUGCCAGCUUGCAUUUGAGAAGAUUAAAUAGUAUUUGCUUUCUCCUCCUGUUUUAUUGCCUCCUACGCCAGGACGUCCACUUCUUCUAUAUUUGUCAAUUUCAGACAUGGCCUUGGGAUGUAUGUUAGCUCAGAUUGAUGACUCAUGGAAUGAACGAGCUAUUUACUAUCUGAGUAAGAGGAUGCUGGAGUAUGAGAUGAAGUAUGUUAUGAUUGAGCGCCUAUGCUUAGCAUUAGUUUGGGCUACCAGGAGAUUGAGGCAUUACAUGACAGAGUACUCACUGCAUUUGAUAUCCUGUCUAGAUCCAUUGAGAUACUUAUUUGAUAGACCUGCAUUAACUGGUAGACUGAUGAGAUGGCUCGUGCUUUUGACAGAGUUCGAUAUCCAGUACGUUUCUCAGAAGUCUAUUAAGGGAAGUAUUGUCGCCGACCACCUAGCCUCACUAUCGACAUCUGAGGAUAGACCAGUUGAUGAUGAUUUUCCAAAUGAGGAGUUUGUUGCUAUGACUAGCUUAUCAGGAUGGUGCAUGUACUUCGAUGGUGCAGCCAAUUAAUCAGGGUAUGGGAUAGGUGUUCUGUUGGUAUCCCCUCAGAAUGAUCACAUUCCGAGGUCUGUUCGUUUGACAUUCUCUUAUCGACAUUCUAUCACGAAUAAUAUAGUUGAGUAUGAGGCUUGUAUCCUUGGUUUAGAGACUGCGUUGGAGCUUGACAUUAAACAGAUAGAGGUAUUUGGUGACUCCAAUCUGGUACUUAGACAAAUUCAGGGAGACUGGAAGACUAGGGACGUAAAGCUUAGGCCGUAUCACGCUUAUUUGGAGUUACUGAUUACGAGAUUUGAUGACUUGAGAUAUGUUCAUCUGCCCAGAGCGCAGAACCGAUUUGCCGAUGCCUUAGCUACCCUAACUUCUUCUAUGGACAUUCCGAUUGAUGUAGUUGUACGUCCAUUGCUGAUUGAGUUGAGAUUUGCACCUACCUACUAUUGUUUGAUUGGAGAAACAGAGGUCCAGGAUGAUCUACCUUGGUAUCAUGACAUUUAUCAGUUUCUUAGAUUUGGCACAUACCCUGAGGUAGCCACUGCCAAGGAUCAGAGAGCACUGAGGCAUUUGCCUAUUAGAUUUGUGAUUUGUGGAGAUACUUUAUAUAGGCGAUCAGCUGAUGGUAUGCUUCUAUUAUGUUUAGAUUGAGCCUCUAUAGAUCGAGUGAUGAGAGAAGUUCAUGCAGGAGUUUGUGGUCCACAUAUGGGAGGACACAUGCUGGCUAGUAAAAUUAUGAGGAUAGGUUAUUUCUGGUUGACUAUGGAGACAGAUUGUUGUCAGUUUGUUUAGAAAUGCCCAGAGUGUUAGAUUCAUGGUGAUCUCAUUCAUGCACCGCCAUCAGAGUUACACACUUUGACCUCGCCAUGGCCAUUUUCAGUAUGGGGUAUUGAUAUUAUUGGGAAGGUUUCACCAAAAUCUUCAUGUGGUCAUGAGUUCAUCCUAGUUGCCAUAGAUUAUUUCACCAAGUGGGUGGAAACCGCAUCAUAUGCGAGGUUGACAUUUGCUAGGGUUGCCAGUUUCAUCAAGUUACACAUCAUUUGUCGUUAUGGGGUUCCCCAUGAGUUGAUUUCAAAUAGAGGGGUGCACUUCCAAGCUGAGGUAGAUACUUUGUUACAGAAGUAUGGCAUCCGACAUCAUAGAUCUUCAGCAUAUAGGCCACAGACCAACAAGGCAAUAGAGGCUGCGAAUAAGAAUAUUAAGAGGAUUUUGAGGAAAAUGGUUGAAACUUCUCGAGAUUGGUCAAAGAAACUCCCUUUUGCAUUGUGGGCAUACUGUACCUCUUUUCGCAGCUCUACAGGAGCUACACCUUACUCGCUAAUGUAUGGUAUGAAGGUUGUUUUGCCGGUUGAGACAGAGAUGGGUUCUUUGAGAGUAAUCCUUAAGCAGCAGAUUUCUGAGACAGAGUGGGUUUAGGCUCGGUUUGACCAGCUUAACCUUUUAGAUGAGAAGAGAUUGAGAGCAACCAAUCAUGUUCAGGCCUAUCAGAGGAAGAUGGCUCGUGCCUUCAGGAAACGGGUUAAGCCUAGACCAUUACAAAAAUGGGAUUUAGUUUUAAGGAUUCUCAGAGGUUUGAUUGGAGACCUUAGAGGAAGUUUAGACCUAGUUGGAGUGGGCCUUAUGUUAUUUGAGAGUUGACUCCAGAAGGGGCUGCAUGGUUGACUGACUUAGAUGAAAACCAGUUUUCAAAGCCUACCAAUGUGGAUCAACUGAAGAAGUAUUAUGUUUGAGAUUAGGGUCGCAGGAUGGAUGGCCAUCAUUUCAGUCAGCCUUACACCUUAUCACAUUUAUUAAUGUAUUAAACCGUUGCUAGCCUAUUGAACCCCACAUGGUAUGUUAUAGCCUUAUUUCUUUCUUAUAGCCUUAAUUACCAUUUCUAUACCCUGGUUAGGGCCCUUUGAUGUUUAUGCAUGCUUUGCUAGGAAAGUCUCAUGAGUUUUAGACUUAUAGGCCUAUUUUCUCAUUCUUGUUACCAUCCCCUUAUCACCCCCGUUUGUUCUAUUUUACUAUCAUCACAUUUUCAUUAUCUUAUUGUGUUUAUCAUUAUUUGCUUCAUCUUAUCUCUUCUCUUUCUUGGGUUGAUGAUUCUUCACAUCUUGGUGCAAAAGAGGGCAGUCAUAUCACUCCAUCCAUCCCAUCAAUUGGCAUCGAUUCAGAGAUUUUAGUUUGAGAGGUUGUCUCAUGGGUUGGGGUUCAUGUAUUCAUCAGUGGUUUGAGAGAGUUUGUUCACUCCUUGUAUCUUUCCCAUUGGAGUCCGAUUUAUUGAUGAUCAGAAGAUGCACAUUCAAAAAAAAAAAAAAAAACGCAAUGACAUGUUUGUGUAUGGUAUCUUGCUCCAUUGGGCACUUAUAUCACCUUUUGAGGUUUAUUUACUAGGUAUAUUAGUCAUUGUGGGUUCUUGUGAGAUUUUUAUACGAGUUUUCACUCCUUGAGCCACUCUUGUUAUGCAUUUGGAGUGUUGGGGGUUCAUGUGAGGGUUCUAUGGUAUCCUAUGCUUCUUGGGUCAUGGUAGAUAUGUGUUAGGUAUGAGAGAUGAGUGACCUUUUACUAGGGUCUCCAGAUCAUUGUCUUAUCCACUAUUACAUCGUUGGUUAUAUGACUUUGCUUUAUUGUACUGAUAUGGAUUGAUCAUCAUUCAUUCCCCUUUCUUAUUGCCUUACUUUGUAUCUCCUUACCCAUUUCCAGAUCUUCAUUCCACUUUUUAUCCAUUUCCUACAUAUUGAUACACGUUUUUUGAUUCGAUACCUUAUUCACAUCAUUUACAUGUUUCAUUGAUGGUUUGACCACUCAUCCUUUCUCUCAUUUCGCCCUUGACAUUUCCUUUGGUUACCUUUAGGUCCAUGGCUCAUGAGGUUUUUUUCUAUGCAUUACAUCUUAUACACGAGAGUAUGGGUUUGAUCAUUGGGUAUUUGAGCCUAGUUUCCCUUCAUUUCUUUCAUCCUAUCACCUUGACCUACGUUAUGUCUCGUGUCUUAAGACCACCCUGAGGCCAUGAGAUCAGGCGUUAUCUUUGACAGUCUUCACUUGGACAGGCUUUUGUAGACUGGUUGAAGUAUAGUCGUUACCAUGUUCUCUUUUAUGGAAGAUACUUUUGGAAGAAUUUGGUCUCUCUCUUGCUUGACAUAUUGAUGUUUGAUGGAUUUUUGAGUUUGAAGACAAUUCAUUGAUGAUAUCGGAUUUAUCCUUUUGUCGACAUCAGAUAUCCAUACUGGGGCAUAUUCCCCUUUCAUUCGGUUGAGAUGAGCCCCUAGUGGAGCACUUUCUUUGAGUUUGGGCUUAUUUUCACUGAUUCGAGAUUCCUAAUAGAGUAUGUUGAGAUGAUAUCAGUUAUAGUGGAGCAUUAUUGAGCUUAUUGACAGUUUUUAUGAUUCUAGGUUCCAUUUGCGGAGUAUUUUUGAGAUAGACUAGUGGAUCAUUUUUAAGUUGGAGGCAAUUUUCAGUGCAGUGUAUAGAUCUUAUAUAUUGGGGUAUAUUUUCCCAUUUUGAGGUCACCAGAUUCCCAUCAGAUUUAGUUAGGGAUUCAUCAGAGAAGUGCUUCUACUCUCGAGAUUAUCAUAUUCCUUAUCAUUUUGGUUAUUCAUUUGAGAUCAGAUUUAAAGUGUCUUCCUUGAGCCAUCGGCUGAUACUUCAUUCUGAUUUCUUAGCGGAUUAUUGUUGAGUUGGAGACAGUUGAUUGAUGAUGUUAGAUUCAUCAUUUUGAUUGUGCAUCAGAUAUCCACACUAGGGCAUAUUUCCCCUUUUCUUUGAGGUUUCUAGUUGUUGUUGGAUGAUAUGACUAUUCCUAUCCAUGGUUAUAGAGAUGUUUGAUUGAUUUUGACGGAUUCUUUAUUGUACAUCAGAUAUCCAUACUGGGGCAUAUUCCCCUUUCCAUGAUGAGAUUAUGUUCGGGCAGCAGUACAUAGAUGGAUGAUCAUUGUUGGUUGUUUAUCUCAUAACUUCGACAUCAUAUAUCCAUACUGGGGCAUAUUCCUCUCUCCUUUACGAGAUUUGUUUGGGUAGUGGUAUGAGGAUGGAUGAUUAGUGUCGGUUGUUUACCUCAUGACUUUGAUAUCAAAUCUUAUACUGGGGCAUAUUUCCCCAUUUUCUUUUAGUAUCCUUGAGAUUGAGACAGUGGCCAGCUUAGUUUUAGAUUGAGUGCCAGUCUGGAGUUUCCGACGAUUGACUUCAUUAGGACCCCCCUAUAAGGAUUUGUUGAGAUAGAGAUGGAUCAUAUCGGGUUUUACCCGAGGAGCAUGGGUGGAUCCUUUAGCCAAAUGUUCAUAGGAUAGAUUUGUUUUCGUCAUUGUUACCUUGAAGAUUGGAUUACCCAGAUGAGCAGUAUUUUGUGCACUUUGAGAUUUGUUUUUAGAUAAGCCACAAUAUACACACUUUGAGAUUUACCUUUUGAGAUCCGUCGACAGAGCAGCUUUUCAGACACAGAGAGAGUUCUUUCAGUUUAGACUUUUCAGAGGUUUGUCAUGAUACAUCGGUUUCUGACCUAUUGAUUUCAACGGAUGAUUGAUUUACUGGUUGUUUCAACACUGCAAGCACCCUAGAUACUGGGGCAUAUUUCCCUUCUUGAGUUCAGUAGUCCAACUCUUGGCAUUUUGAGUGUAUGGUUUUGAGCCUAUUUAUUUCCUAUCCACUUUCGAGUUAGUCUUAUUUAUCUGUUGCUUCUAGACCCUGAGUCUUACAGCCCUGAGCUAUCCACUCCUUCUACGCCCUGAGCCUCGUAACCCUGAGCUAUCAUUUUCCUCUUAGUCCUUGAGCCUCAUAGCCUUGAGCUAUCCAUUCCUUCUAGGCCCUAAGUCUCAUAGCCCUAAGCCAUCCUUCUCCUCUUAGGCCCUGAGCUUCGUAGCCUUGAGCUAUCCUUUUCCUCUUAGGCCCUGAGCCUCGUAGCCCUGAACUAUCACUUCUUAUUUAAGACCCAGAGUCUUUCCAGCCCUGAGCUAAGCCUGCAUCAUUUGGUCGCCCAUGAGUGGUAUGACCUGGAGUUUGCGUAUCGCACUCUCUUUCUAGUUGAUCAGUCAUAGAGCUCCGAGCUCAUGGCCCUGAGCUAUUCGUUGUAACCCUGAGUUACUCAUUGCAUCAUGACCCAGAGUCAUUCAUUCCAUCCAUAGCCUUGAGCUAUUCAUUGUAACCCUGAGUUACUCAUUGCACCAUGACCUAGAGUCAUUCAUGACAUCUUGAGCCUUGAGCUCACGACCCAGAGUCAUUUGCAUCCUUCACAUCCCUGAGAUGUUUCGUUUCAUCAUUCUAGCCAAUUGUGAGUGGCCUCGACCCGGCACCAUGAGCCGAAAAGCAUCCUGAUCGGCUAUCCGUUUAGAGCCCUGAGUUCUCGACCUAGAGUCGAUUUUCAUUUAUGACCUAGAGUAAUUUCUUUCCAUUUAGAGCCCUGGGCUCAUGACCUGGAGUCAUUCACUCCAUCUAUGACCCAUAGUCAUUCUUAGCAUUUAUAGCCCUGAGCUCGCAACCCAGAGUCGUUUAUCCUAUUCAUGACCCAGAGUCAUUUAUCCUAUUUCCGACCAUGAGUCAUUUAUCCUAUUUUUGACCUAGAGUCGUUCAUCCUAUCCAUGACCUAGAGUCAUUCAUCUCAUCCAUGACUUUGAGUCAUCAUUUUCAUAUAUUUCCAUCUUUGUGCUACUUGUCACAUACCUUUAUCUCUUUACUGUCAUUCUCCCCACAUAGAGUAGUUUCAUCCUUGUCGUUGAAGCCUUGUGUUCCAACCUUUCUCUCGCCAUGUGCUAAGACAAAAUCUCUGGUCCUUCUUUAGUUCUUCGGUAUAGUUCACUUUGUUCCAUUCAUUAUUCGUAUUUUUACUCACAUUCAUUACACUCGCAAUCUAUACCGAAGAGGGGCAUAUUUGUAUACCCUCAAUUUUGUCCCUUUAGCACAUGUCUUUAAGUUCACUUUCAAUGUUCCACAGUAGUUCUUUGGUGGCCCAUAACUACUCAUACUACUUACCUUUUUUGAGCCACCUCAGAGACUUUGUUGAGGGAUUUAUCUAACCUCAUUGUGACUCUUGGCAGCCCUAAUUUAGACUUAGGCCCACUUAGGCACCCUAGACCCAUUUAGAUACACUUGGCCCAUUAGGCAUCACCUUAGGCCCAUUUAGAUGCACUUGACACCUUCUAGCUUGCACACAUUCACCCUAGGUCACUUAGACAAUCUUUCAGAAUAGGUCACUUGGACACUUCUUUUGGAAUAGUUCACUUAGGCAUGUGCUUGAUUUUGGUUACUUAUUUUUCAGGAUAAGAUGAGUGUUGGCUUGACUUUUUAUUACAUGAAAUGAAUUUUUUAUUCUAUCUUUAUUUUAUUUUUAUUUUUAUUUUUGAAGGUUUGAGUUUGACAUUUAAAUUAUUAUAAUCCGUUGCAUUACUUUAAUUUCUUGAUUUUUUUUAAUUGCAUACGUCUGAUAUUUAUUUUUAUACCCUUACCAAUUUAUUUGUUUAUUUACUCACUUAUUCAUUUAUUCCUUAAUUCCAUGAAUUGACAUUUUGGAUUUUUGUGGCUAUGUGAUUUGAUUUUCUAUUUUAUUUUAUUUUAUUUCCAAUUACAUGAUUUCUUAUUUCAACUUUAUUUUUAAUUUUGCAUGAGACUUGGAGCCAUCAAGGAAAGGAAAUCACGGCCAAAUAGGGAAACUUGGAAGGAAUUCGGGCUGCAUAUUAUUUGCUUGAAGAAAGAAUCCGAGCUGCAUAUAGAAAGUGGGCAGAUCAUGGCUGAGGAACAUCCGGGAGCAUAUGGAAAGAAGAUUAAAGGGGAUCUGAUCACUUACCAAACAAGAUACGACUGCAUCGUUGGGGAAAUCUCCAAGUGAGCCACACAUAAUGGACUUCCCAUAUCCACGCACACGUAGGAAAAAAUGGAAAUAAGAUAUUCCAUAAAGAGUGGGUUGCCUUAUAAAUAAAGGAGAGAAUCCAAGCAUAAGAGGAAUUUUUUUUUCGAAGGGGAAUAGGCGGAAAGAAUUUUCACAUGGAGACUUUUCUUUUGGAGGGCAGAGAGGACACGAGAGCAAUUCUUUUGAGAUGACUCGCGAAGAACUUUGAAGAGCCGACACAUAACCAUAAAAGAGGGAGGAACAACCCACAAAAUCUUCACAAAUAACGGUUUAUAGGUAAGUGUACGCUUUCAAAUUUAUCUUUGAUUUCGUUUUGAUUCAUCCUUUUAGUCUUGAGUGUUUUAAUGAUUUUAGUUCUUUGAUUUAAUUAAUCCUAUCUAAUAAAUUUCUUGUUUUAAUUUCGAUUUAGUUUUAAUUUAUUUUUCUUUUUUAGUUUGGAUGUGUUUGUGGUUUUAAUUCUUUAGUUUAAUUUAUCCCAUUAGAUAAAGUUCCCUUUUUUUUUAUUCCAAUUCGAUUUAGUUUUAAUUUAUCUUUUAUGUUUAGAUGUGUUUGUAGUUUUCUUUAAUUUAAUUGUUUCUAUUAUAAAAGUCCCUAUUUUUAAUUUUGAUCUAGUUCAAUUUUAAUAUAUUUUUUAUGCUUAGAUGUGUUUGUGAUAUUAAUUUGUCAGUUUAAUUAUUUCUAUUAGAAAAGUUUUGUUUUUAAUUUUGAUUUAGUUCACUGUUAAUCUACCUUUUAUGUUUAGUGUUUGUCGUUUUAAUUCGUUAGUUUAACUGUUCAUAUUAGAAAAGUUCUUAUUUUUAAUUUCAAUUUAGUUCAAUUUUAAUCUAUCUCAUAUAUUUGUGAUUUUAAUUCGUUAGUUUAAUUAUUCCUAUUAGUAAAGUUCUUAUUUUUAAUUUCAAUUUAGUUCGAUUUUAAUCUAUCCUAUAUGUUUUUGCGAUUUUAAUUCGUUAGUUUAAUUAUUCGUAUUAGAAAAGUUCUUAUUUUUAAUUUCAAUUUUAAUCUCUCUUAUAUGUUUAAAUGUGUUUGAGAUGUUAAUUAUUAGUUUAAGUAUUCCUCAUAGAUAAAGUUCACAUUUUUAAAAUCCCAAAUUAGUUUAAAUUUUAAUUUAGCUGUUAGUUUAAAUAUGUUUGUGAUUUUAAUUCCUUAGUUUAAGUAAUUUAAGAGAUAAAGUUUAAUUUUAUUUUAUUUUUUUGGAUUAAUUUAGUUUUAGUUUAUAAUUUAAUUUGAAUGCGUUAAUGAUUUCAAUUCCUUAGUUUAAAUAAUUUGUGAGAUAAAGUUUACUUUCUUUAAUUUCAAAUUAACUUAGUUUUAGUUUAUGAUUUAAUUUGAAUGUGUUAGUGAUCCUAAUUAGUUUGAUUUUAAUUCGUUUUUAGUUUAAAUAAUCACGCUAAAUAAAGUUUGUAUUUUUAAUUCCAAUUACUUUAAUUUUAAUUCGUUUUUAACUUAAAAGCAUUCGUGGAUCUUAAUUCUUUAGUUUAAAUGAUUGUAUUAAGUAAAGUUUGAGUUUUUAAUAUUCCAAUAACUUUAUUAAGUAGAAUUUAAUUUCAAUUCAGUUUGAUUUUAAUUUGUUUUAUAAUCUGAACGUGUUCAUGAUUUUAAUUCAAUUGUUUGAUUAACCCUCUUUAACAAAUUCCAUAUUUUUAAUUUCGAUCUUAGUUUAAUUUUAUUUUGUUAAUUUAUUUAUUUGCUUUAGUUUAAAUAUAUUUGUGAUUUCAAUUUGAUAGUUUAGCCAAUCUUAUUAGAUGAUGAUGUCCUUAAUUUAAUCUAGUAUUAAUUAUUUUUAGUAUUGAAUGUGUUUGUGUUUUUUAUUUCAUUAACUUUGAAUUUAAUCCGUUUAUAUCCAAUUUUGCAAUUGAUUAUAAUUUUGUUUAAUUAAUUCAGUCAAUCACGUGUAAUUAUUUUCAUGUUUUAAGUAUGGUAAUUUUGGCUUUGAUCUAUUGACAUUUAGUAUGAGCUUUAGGAAUUUUAGAUAAUUAAUCCAGUUAAUUGUAUGUCAUUGGUUUCAUACCUUCAAGAUUUUUGAACUUUGGUAUUUGAUUCAUCAUAUUUUGUUAAAAUGCUAAUUUACCUUAAUUGAUUCCAUAUUAUUAUCUCCAUAUGCUAAGUUUGUUGGCUUUAAUAUUUGAUUGGUUAUUUUUAUUUUAAUUCAUGUGCUUCUUGAAAUCUAAAUGUUAGUCUUUGGUAAUAUUUUGUUAGUUUGUUUUAUUAGGAAAUUAUAAAUUUGAUGUCUUAGUGAUUGUUAGUUAAAUUCUUAUUUUUUGAAGGCCAUUGGAAACUCAUGAAAGUUGGUCUUACCCUCACCACUUUAAUUGACAUGAUUUUCUAAAUCUUUAUUUUGUGAUUUUCGCUUUCUUUUGUUUUGAUUGGUAUUUGGUUUUCUUUGUUUUAUUAUUUUAAAAAUUAAUUCCUUUUAUUUUAAAAUCAAAACCUUUUUCUCCGAAGACCCCUUUAAGAAAUUCUUUUUUUUUUAAAAAAAAAAAUCAUUUAGAGUCCUUAGAAUAAAAAAACCCCAUUUUCUUAAAAUAAUAUGCAACCAUUUUUUGAUCGAUUUCCAUCUUUCUCGGUUUUUUAAUGAAAAUUUUGGUUUAAAAUCAAACACAAAUCCAAGCUUAUGGUCCCACAUAAAUGGGAUAAUUUCAGGUUAGAUUUGUGUAUAUCAAUUGGGGAAUUGGUGAAACCCCUACAUAAAAAAAAUAAAAAAUAAAUAAAAAAUCUUUUCAAAACUUAUUUUUGCUACCGCCUUUGUUGGUUGUUACAUUCAUAUCUUUUUUUUUGGAAUUGUACAUAAGAUGUGUGUAAUAAUUGAUGAUUUCGUAUUCUUUGAUCAUUUUUGCUAUGAGCUAUAUAUGCUAUCCAGGUAUGUUCCCUAAUACCCACUUUCUAAACCCCGUGAACAUGAUUGUCAUUGUGUACUAUGCCCAUGCUUGCUAUCCUAUUUGAUUGCCUUGAUAUAUAUUUGAUGCUUUUUUUUUAUUAUCUUUGACAAAAACACAUGUUGUGAUAUAUUUUUAUACUAACUUUUAUGUUUCAUGAUAGCGCUUGAGAAGCCGUUUAGGUACGCACUUUGAUUCUCUCUUAUGAUCAGACUUUCUUAUUUGGCAUGCUAUUUUUUGAAAUCACCUAGCCUACCUAGGUAUCCAUGAUCAACCAUUUAAUUGUCACGUUUCCCUCAACUUAAUUAGUAGAGACCUCUUUAGGGCUUAGAGGGGUGCUACCUCCUAGAGGUAUCUUCCUAGUAAGUAACCUAAUCCCCGGACCUAGACUCGGUUUUUUCAAAGAGAUGCUUUUUUCAAAAAUUAUGGAGUCACAUUUUAGGGUUUUUCUUUCUUGUUUUAUUUUCCCUUUAAAAUAAAAAUAAAAUAAUGGCGACUCCGACUUUUUCCAAAAUUAAUUUUUCACAAAUAGAAAAGCAAGUCUCUCCGAUCGAAUGAGGGCGCAUGUGAAAAAUGCGGGUCCAUAGAUAGGCCUCUCAUUUCUAAUGUAUGCAAGUUUUAACUGUAUACCAUGGUAAAUUAGAUGAGAAACUAUAGUAAAUUGGAUGAAAGAUUAACCCGACGUGAUUUCUUUGUCAAUUUGGAAGGAUGGUGUAAUUUUAGGAAAUGACAAGCUUGCACAUAAUUAUAAUUAUAUUUUGAUGAACGAGACAAUUGUUUAAUGUUCUAUCUUGGUGUUUGGCAUUCAACAAAUUAUGUUCAUAUUUAAUUAAAAAGUUUAAUGUAACCUUGUAAAUGCAUAGUUUAUACUCACAUUGUUUAGAUCAUAUCUGGAAAGUUGAAAAAAAAAAUGGGACUCCAUUACAUAUCUCAUUAAUAAAUAUGUAUGAAUUACUUAUUAAAAAUAGAAAUAGGUCAUCCAUGCCAUGAGAAGUCAUGCCUCCAAAAGCAAAAAGCAAAAAACAAGUUCUUACAAUUCAACUUUUUUGGCAUCCAUGAUGAGUUUAUCAACCUAACUAUUACCCACCAACUAAUAAUAAUUGUAGCAUUAAUGCGAGUCAACUAACAAUCCUUCUUCCAUUUACCUCUAUCUUGGAAUUUGAUCUAUUAAAUUUUCUUCCUUUUACCUCUAUCUUGGUAUUUGACAUGUUAAAAUUGGACCUUCACUCCAUGUUAUAUACGAGCAUAGUUUUUAAGUAGAAAUAGGUAUAGUUGCUAUGCUACUAAAUUUUAUAUUUGGAAAUUGGAAAUAUUAAAAAUGUUUUAAUUGAAAAUAAAUAUAAUUUUAAUAUUUUCAAAUAUUUUAAUGAAAUAAAAUUAAUUUGGUGUCCCAUUUUUUUUUUUCAGGAUCAAUAAAGUGUGAACCCCAUAUUUAAGAAUCCUACGUAACUAUGUUUAGAAUUUGUAAAUGACAUAUAAACAUUCAUUGACCUAAAAACUCUCCUUGAGAGGUUUAAUUAAUAUAUACUGGAAAUUUCCACCCAAAAAACAUAGCACAAUACCUUGUUUGAGGUAAAUUUAGUGGAAUGCAUUAUGGGAAUUGCUCAAUAGUUAAAAAUGAGGGUGUGCUUGUUAAACUCAAAAGAUUAAAUACGUGGUCAACGUGAGAACUGAUACCAAUUUUUCAGACGAUACAACAACCCAACUGUCAAUUCAUAAAUUUUAUAUAAAUGAGGAGACAUACUGCUCCUUGGACCAAGGUAGAUUUUGUUUUUGAGUCUACGUUAUUUUCUCCAAAAAAAAUAUUAUAACUAUAAAAUUGUUUUCUAUUUUUUAUUGUUAAAAACAAAAAAACAUAUAUUUUCAGAUAAUAUCUUUUAAUAAUUUUUCAUUAUUUUUGCAUAUUUUUUUAAUGUAGUUUUGAAAAAUAAUUAUACAAACAUGGAAAAUAAUUAAAAAUAAAAUACUAGAUAUACAAAUUAUUUUAAAAAUAGGUUAAAUAUAAUUCAGGUUCCUAAAGAGAAUUUUGUUUUAUAAAACACUAUAAAAUAGUUUUUAAAAACUAUUUUUUACAAUUGUUUUAAAAAACAAUUACCAAUUACCAAAUAGGGCCCUAAAAAUAGAGAUGUGUCAAUAUUAACUAACAAGCUAGAAAGAGAGAUGUGUUAAUAUUAUAAUUAACCAUUAUAGGCAAACAUUGAAGUCAUUCUAUCAUAUCCAAAAUUGGCACCAUAAUUUUCCAUUUUCAACUUAUUUUCUUUUUACCGAUGUAACUAUGUGGAAAUUUCUUGUUUUAUUAAUUCAAUAUGCAUGAGAUAUUUCAAUGGUCCAUCCGUCUAAUUAAUGGUUGGAAACCGAUAGAAAUAUGAAACAACUUUUUCAUAUUGUUAAGAAUCUUUUAAAAUGUCUUUCUUUUGUCACUUCAAAUGAUUGGGUUCAUUAAUCUUAACCAUUCAUUCAAUGCUUGAGUUUGCAUCCACUGCUCACAUCCCUAUCCACCAUUAUACAUAUUGAUAUAUUUAUUAUUUUUGUUUUUAUUUCUAAGAUUAACAACUUUGGAACAUAAAAUGAUUAGGGAGUAGAGCAUGAAUGCAAGAACAACUUUUGAACUUAAACAUUAAGAUUGAAAUGGUCUAAAUCAGAUCAAGUGAUUUACUUGUGUGUUGGGUGUAUCCCAGAAGCCCACAUCAAAUGGAAAAUCACCCUCACCUCCCUGGAUUUGUUCAAUCAUACCAUCCAUGGGUCCCUUUUUCUGUGUUGCAGUUUCUUCUGUCCUGAGGCUUGCGAUAAGCAUCUCUCCAGAAGCCGAAAAGUCAGUUUCUUGAUCCAUUUGAGCAUGCUCAGCUAACAGGCUUUCCCACCAUAUGAUGUCAUCAUUCGGUUGUGGUGAAGUGGAUGAUGGCUUCCUGGAAGUACUGACUUGUGUGUCAAAAGUAUCCACAGCUGUAGUUUUUAGUUCAAACCUUGGCAAGGCUUUGGAGAACUUGUGAGGGUGAG